CAAGCCACAACUAUCAUAGUAAACCUGGCCAAGUUCAAAGUCCCGGAAAUGUUCAAAAAUGUGGUGUUUGUCAUUGAGUUUGUGCCGGAAAAAGAAAGUAAGUCAUCUUCUCCAAUUUUAAUUUUUAUUUAUACUAACAUGUUUCUUAUUUUGAUGAUUCAGGCACCCACUCUUGAAUUUAAACCAUUGCCGAAUCAUUUCAAGUAUCACCUCCCAUUAAAAGAUAAAUUCCAUGCUUUGGAGCCGAUGAGAGUUUAAAGGAAAGAUUCGUCCGGCUAAAGACGUUAAAUCAAGCGCUUCUUGGGAGGCAACCCAAGCAUUCAACGAAGGAAGACUUUGGAAUCGUUAACCCAAUCAGAUUUGCAUUCUUACACCCUUAUCUUUACUGCUUUCAUUUUGUUUUGUUUAGUUAGUUGUGUUAUUUGGUUGAUUUCUGUGAGUUUGUGUUAUUUAGUUUAAGUGUGGGGGAAGGUUAACCAAAGUCUUUUUACAUUAAUUUACAUAUAUAUAAAAAAAAUAAAUAAUAAAAAAAAAAGAUAAAAUUUAAAAAAAUAAAAUAAAAAAAAAUAAAAUAAAAAAAAAUAAAAAAUAAAAACAUAAAAGUACAAAUAUUUUACAAUGACUUAAACUAAUAGCAUUCAUUGGUCAGGUGGUGCUUCAGUAGUCGGCGGAGCUUCGGCAGUCGGCAGGGCCACAGAAGGAGGAGGCAGCAGAGGUUGAUCAGUUGGAGCUUCACUACGUGGUGCCGCUCCAGAAGACGAAGGCAGAUGUUGUUGGAACAAUCCCACAAACCUUCGAUGAUCAAGUAAAAUUUGACCAUCGGUGUCCUGCAUCUGGUCAAUCUUCCUCUUCAUGCUGGUGGCAUAGUUGUGUGCAAACUUAUGCAAUUGUUUAUUUUCAUGCUUGAGUCCCUAAUCUCCUCUUUGAGACUCUGUAUUUCAGCCACCAACGAUUCAACAUGACGGGUUCGGGCAAAUAGGCGUUGGGCCAUGUUGGACACAGAACCAGCACACUGCACGCUAAGAGCCAGAGACUCCUUAACCGCCAAUUCAUCAGACCGUCUAGCGAGCAGUCUGUUAUCUCUGGGAGUGACAAGGUUCCGGGCCACCACCGCAGCGGUCAUGUCAUUUUUUCACCGAAUCCCCCACGGUAAGAGGACCGGUGGGAGAUAUGAAGGAUGGGCGCCAUAUGUUGUCUGGUGAAGGCGGAGCUGCCUCUUCACCACGGUUGAGGUCAAAACGACGAUCGGAAGGGCCAGACAUUUUUCAGAGGUGGUGAAGAAAGAAGAGAGUCGGACUGAUCAAGAUUUCGGAAGUGCAAGAAGGGAGUGUUUACAGGAGGGAGCUCAAGUGUGUUGUGGAACAAAAUUAACGCCUCUAUAAAAAGAAGAAUUCAAAGAGGCACUCCUCAGAAAUCGAUGAAGCGUCCUCUCACAAAUCGAAGAGUCGAGGAGUUUCCGUUCUCAAAAGCCGGAUUCUUUUCUCAAAAGAGGCGUUCAUUUCUUAAAAGUUGGGCUUGCUCAGAAACCACGAGCCGAACCCCGGAUUUCGCAAGAUCAAUUCGUCCAGACGUGUUGUCACCCGUCACACGCAAACUCAGCUCUGCGAAAAUCACGGGCAGUCUGUCGAAGUGCCGAUUCCAACCAUCUGUCUCUCUCAGCCUAGUCAGCAUUUGUCACAUGCAACUGGCAGCUUUGCGGAAAUUACGGGCAGCUUUGUCAGAAAGCGCGUAAUUUGUACUAUUCAUCCAUCCACCGGCUGCCGACAAUGAGUGAGAGAACAGUUCCGGUUGUGAAGACAAGUCCUAUAAGUUUCUACCUUCGCCUUCCACAGCAAAAGCACACUCUCUCAGCACACCCUCUCAACUCUUCUUCAUCUCCGAAAAUGCAUUCCCAAAGAAUCCUUCUCGAGUCACUCUGUGUUCCUCAUUCCUUGGGAUACUCCUGCGAACAACCCAUUCAAAGCAAAAGUAUUUCAUAUCAUAAAGGUUGAAAGCAAGAGUAUCUCAUAUCAUGCUUUCUCCAUGUCCUUCUCCUUGUCUUUGUUUUCCGACAAGGAGAAGGAGAGCAAUCAGCCAGCAUUUGGUAUCAAUCUUCCGAUCUGGAGCCAACUGCCUGGAACCCCUUCCUGAUUGCUUACCUAGCCUUGCUCUCGAGUACUCAUCUUCAUCAUCUUUAUGCUUUCCUCUUUUGUCUACCACAUCUACCUGGGGGACAGUAAGGGAAGUGAAAAUGAUACCUCGAAGCAUGUGGAGACAAUUCAGCUAGGGACAAGGAGAAAGAAAGCAAGAGGUGGGCACUUGGAAAGAUUGAAGAAAGAAAUCAAGGACCAAACCUCUACCUCGUGCCUGCCCGCCAUGCAGAGGAAACAAGCAGAGAAGAAUGCAGACUGAACUGAAAUCCUCGCUCAGAAUUCCAAAUCAGUUCAAGAGGAAAGCUGUGGAAAGUCAACAAGCACGACCAAUGAUUCACUUAUUAGUUUCUAUUCAUUAUCUUUUAUUUUCAUUUUCAAUUUUUCGUUUGCAAUUUUUUCUAAUUAAUUUUCUUGCGUACUUAACUGAAUUAUUUCUUUUCUUUGCAGGAACUUUUGGUUAUUUCCACCCUUGAAGUUGAUUGCAGAAUUUUAGCUUGGGGGGUCAUCGCUUGAUUUUACUGCAAAUUAGGGAAGUUUUCAGUCCAAUUGCUUUAUUUUGUUUUUUAUUAUUUUGUUUAUUUUAUUUAUUUUUGCAUUAUAGUGUUUUCUGACAUUGGGGACAAUGUCCAGUUUAAGUAUGGGGGUAAAGGGUAAAAAUGACCAAAUUGAAAUUUUUUGUACCUUCAACUUCGAACUGGUUUCAUUUGUUUCUGUGUUGUUGCUUUUUAUUUUUUAGUUUUGUUUUCUCUAUAAAAAAAAUAAAAAAAAAAAAAUCGGAAAAUUUAAAAAUCCAAAAAUAUUGUCUUGUUUUCCUUAUUGUUUUGAAUUAGAUUUUUGUUAGUUUCCCGACCCAAUGAUAUAAUUGGAUAAAAUUUGAACCAUGAUCAUCAAGAACUUAGUUAACAUGUGUUUUUGUGAAAUUCCUAAUUCUCGUUGUUAGUUUUGUACAUGUUUGAUCAUCUUUGAAAAACCAAAUGCACAUAGCCUUGUUGAUGUGAAACUAAAGCAUGACUUAAAGCUUCAUAUGUGAAUUUAGUGACCAUAUACAUCCUAUGUGAGUUUUUGAGCCUAUUGAAAGUGUGUGCAUUUUUCAUACACUCCUAUUCUUUCAUGUGUGAUGAACUUAUGUGAGAUACAUCUCUAGAACUUGCGUAACGAUCUUUCGAAAUGUUUGUCCUUGAUUGCAUGAACUUGGAAAUGAUAGAGGCAUUAGGUUUACCAUGGCCCAAAUAACCAUGUUUCCCAAAGAAAAAUGAUAUCAUUAGAUUGCCAAUUUGAGCCGUAUAUGUUGAACCUUUUGUUUCUUAUCACCAGAUAUGUCUACCCUUAUACCUGAAACAUUUUUCCUUACCCUUUUCCAAGCGAGCAAUGCGAGAUUGUCUUAUGAGAAACGUUUGUUAAGUACUGUGAAGGUGUUUGGCAAAAGAAUAAGUGUGGGGGUAUUUCAUGUUUGUAUUUCAAAAAAAAAAAAAAAAAAAAAAAAAAAAAAAAAAAAAAAAAAGAAAAAGAAAGAUUGUAUACAAAGAAAAUAAAAGUUUUUAAAGUUUCAGUUUAAGGUUGUGGUUGGAGGAUGUCUAGAAGAAUCGUUGGAGAGCUUGAGUUCUUAUAAAUCUAAAGAAAAGAAUUGCUUGCAAUGUAGCUUGGAACUUGUGUUUUCCUAUUCUUUCGUUUCAAUAACCCUAUCCCUAAACCUCAUUACAUCCAAUAAAAGUCCUCUUGAUUUAAGUUUUGCAAUUAUGACUGUGGAGAAGUGAUCUUUAUGCAAGCUUAUGGUAGAAAUUUCACAUUUGUUUCUUUGAGCGAAACACAUUAAAACUAAAACACAUGUGUGAUUGAGUGCAUAUCCCGUGAGAAGGUCGCUAGUUUGCAUAUGAUGAUUUUAAAAAUAAAAACUUGAAAUUGCAUUAGCAUGACUAUCUCACACACUACACUUCAAGGAUGAUUCAAAGAUUACUGCUAAUAUUUGAAUAAGAUGAACUUGGAUUAGUUUGUUUGACGCUAGCUAUGGUUCUUGAUGAUUUGUUUUCUCGAAUGAAAUUCUAUGAGGGUCACAUAGGGGGAAACUAAUGUUUUUCAUGUUAUUACUUUUUCAUGUCUCUUUGUUUUGCUCGAGGACUAGCAAAAGCUAAGUAUGGGGGUAUUUGAUCGGAUCAUAUUUAUAUAUAUUUUUACUUCAAAUUCACUCGUCUUUUCUUAGUUAGUUCCUUAUAUUUUUGAGCUAUUUACGUUAUUUUUGUGUUUAUAGGAUUUGUUAUGCAAAGAAAAUAAAAAUGGCACAAAUGAGUUUUAAAUAAUAAAUUCGUAAAAAAUUGCUUUAGUCGUUCUCAUUCUGUCAUGGGUUAUUGGUAGAAUUAUGUCACGGAUUAUAGGGCAUGGAAAUUAGGCUAAAUUUAUUAGGUAUGCAUUAGAAAUUAUAUGAUAUAUCUAAAAUUGAAGUGUUUUGCAGUUGGUGAGUAAAGAAAAAAAAAAGAAUAAACAAAGUUGUUGGAGGGCUGCACAUUAAGGCACAGAAGGAAUAAAAAACUGCACUUGCAGCGUGAGUGUGGUGGGUGAGGCAUUAGCCUCGGGGGUGAGUGCGGAAAAGAAAGAAAAAUAAUAGGGGAAGUAGGGCAGCUACGUGGGCAGCGAAUAAAGGGAGAGAGGUGAGAAAUCAGCGCGAGGAGAAGACGGGAGAGACGUGAGGAGGGGGAAAGAAGCAGCUUAGCUGCCCCUGGCAGCCUUGGAAAAACAAGAAAAGCAGAAAAUAGAGAGGUCAGAGGCAGCUGCCUUGCGGCAGCAGGAACCGAGGAGAGUCAGGAAGACAGCUGCCCUUUGGCAGCGUGAGCGUGAACACGUGCAGUGAGGUGCGAAGAAGAGACGCCAGCGUGAGACCAGAGGGUGGAUAGGGAGAAGCAGCAAAGCUGCAGUGCCAGCGACAGAAAAACAGAAACAUCAGAGCAGCAAGCUGCACAGAAAACAGAAGGCUUCAAUCUAUUUUCUUGGGGUUAAAUCUUUCCAAACUUUUAUUUUAUUUCUGUUUUUAAUAAUGUGUAAUUAAUUUUAUUUUGGCUAGAGGUUAAUUCGAAACCAUGAAUAUAUUUGUAAUAUGAAUUGAUUACCUUCAGUUGUGAUUUCUGAGUUGUGAUUUAAUUUGCUUAACUGCUUGAUAGAUAACUAAUUUUUUUGUAUGUCGAUUAAGGAUGCAUACUUAAUUUACAUGCAUGAAUUUGAUGCUAGAAUAUAAGUGAAUUUCACCUAAUCGUUAUGAACUUAUAUUCACAAGUAGUGAAGGUUGUUAACCACAAUCGUGUUAAGUAAAUUCUUGGCAUAAGUUUCAUGCAAUUCAUAGUAACAAGUGCCUCGUCAAUGCUUAUGAUUUUCAUAGAACUUAAUGAUUCUUGCUUGUAUCUCUAUUAUGCAAUUCAUGUAGGGAACUUGUGGGGAAUAUUUUGGGUUGUCGUAUGCAAUCAUCCAAUCCAUUAACUUAAGGAAAAUCUGAGAAUUAAUUUAUGCAAUUCAUGGUUAAUUUGGGGCGUUGAGAUUUACAAUUUAUUGAAAGAACAACUGAAAAUCAAUUUAGAUUGCUUAUGUGUCAUGUGUGGAGAAGAACCCUCUAGCUAGUCCGUCAUUUAUCAUUUUACCUUAAUUUUAUGUUUUUGUCAAUUCUGUAAUUUAAUUAAGUUUAAUUUACUUUUCAUCAAAACCAAACACCCAUCCAUUAUUAAAUUAUAUUUUUUUGUUAGUUUUCUUUAUUGUUAGUCUUUUAAUUUAAUUUCCGUCCAUUUCAGUUCCUAGUGUUUAAUUUAAUUGUUUUCAUUAUUUUGAGUCAUUUUAAGUGUGUUUCGAGUUAUUAGAGUUUUUAGCCUAAUUUUGUGUCCUUGAGUCUUGUUUAAUAUUUUUAGAUUAAUUUAGCAUAGAUUAGCAAUCCCUCCUAAUCCCCGGCCUAGAACGAUACCCUACUUACAUCUAUACUACAAUUGUCAAAAAGAGGGUUAAUUUGUGUGUCAAGUAAUUCUCACAUCAGUUCCAUUGGCAAGGUUUAAACUUUUGAGAAAUGCUUCACAACUUUGAAAACAAAAACGCUUUCAUUUUGCAUAUCCUUGCACAUUUAAUAUUUGUAAUAGAUUAGUAGUGUAUGGAUGUAUUUUUUAUGAGGCUCUUAUUUUCGAGUACAUAAGCGACAAAUGUGUUUUAAUAUUUUGAAGUAAUAUUUAUGUGACAAUGUGUGGUAUGUGCAAAUUUAAGAAAAAAAAAUAUUUUUCUUAACGGGUCAUAACGGGUCGGGUCACUUUACCCAUUGGGUAAAGUGACCCGACCUGUUAAGGACCCGUUAAGAUAACAGGUGUGACACGACACGACCCGUUAAGAUAACAGGUGUUACACGAAAACGACACGAACACGACUGACACGACCCGUUUGCCAGGCCUAGCAGAAGGUAUGUAAGUACUAUUGGUUGCCCGGACGAGAACAAAAUUACAUAUUCCAUUGCUGAUCUGGAUGGCCUUGUGUGGGAGAACACCCCAUAUUUUGUUCUCAACAUUAAUGAGACUGCUUCUUAAGAUGACUGCUUGAGAGAUUGCAAUUGUGAAGCUGCAGUUUAUCAUGACUAGUUGUGCCAAAAACAGAGGUUUCCGCUAAGAUUUGGAAGAACUGGAAAAAGUGGCUCAACCAUGAUCAAAGUUGUCACUGAGAGUUCAGGGACAAAAACUGUAAGCAAAGCAAGGUAAGAACAACUUCGAACAUGAAUCUUUAUUGGCGGUAUUGCAAUGCUAAGUUUUGCACUUAUUAUUCUAGCAAUUACUGGUUUUGUUAUUUAUAGAUACUGUGUUGCAGAUUACGAAAAGAUUUCGAAUUCAAAAAAUGAUGGGUUUGUAGAAGAUGUCACGCUGCGAUCAUAUACAUAUUGUAAGCUUGAAAAGGCAACCAAAGGUUUUAGUGAUCAAGUGGGCAAAAGACCAUUUGGGACAUUUUAUAAAAGGGUCAUACCAUCAAAUGGUGGGAGAGUAGUGGCUAUCAAGAAACUAGAGAAGGUGAUGGAUCAAGGAGACUGGGAAUUCCGAAAUGAGAUGAACGCAAUAGGAAGGACGCAUCAUAAAAAUCUGGUUAAAUUGCUUGGCUACUAUCACGAUGGAUCAAAUAGGCUUCUGGUUUAUGAGUACAUGACCAAUGGCUUGUAAUAGCAACCAUACAAGCUCUAUAACAAACUAGCCAAGAACAUAAGAUUUAACCAAGUCACAAUCAUCACUCCAAAUAUAUUCUGUAUAUGCAAACACUGAAGUAAUUUCUGCAACACAUACCUGCAGACUGUUUGACGAAGUCUUUCUCAUGUGUGUAUGCCAUUAGGUCAUGAGUAAGUUCAACUUACAUUCCCAAUAGUCUUCUGGAUAAUUGCAACUCGCUGUAAUGCCUUCUCAGAUUCCAAAGCCCGAACUCUAAGCUUCAUAUCACCUUGUUCCAAUCUUUGUAUAAUUUCAGCAAGCUUUUCAACUCUGUCAGCAUGUUCAUGGAUGAAGAAGCCAUGGACGAAUCUACACACAACCUUCUCCUCUCUGCAAAACUCAAUGCUCUUCAAGUUAUAGGUAAUUGGAACAAUAAAAGCAUGUUUUUGUGAGAGCAGGGGUUUGUGGUUUUUAUACUACAAAAUCUAGAUUACCUUAUAAUAAUCCUACAAGGAAUACAAGACCAAAUCCUUGUACAAGUAUGAGUUCUAUUCUUGAGCCAACAGUAGAGUUUCAAUCCAAACCAAAGUUAAAUUAACUCUUAUAAACACAUUAAGACCUCUUUAUACCAAUCUGAAAUAACAAUGAUUAUUACUAAGCUGUGAGAAUCACACUCAUACUCUAACAUAGCUCACUUGCAGAUUUCUUUUUCCGAUCGGAUGGAAGACCAACUUGGAAGGAAAGAAUUGGCAUAUGUCUCAAUGUAACUUGAGGCAUACUUUAUUUACAUGAAGAGUGUGACACACAGAUCAUCCACUGUGACAUCAAAUCGGAAAAUAUACUAAUGAGUGACCAAAAAUGUGCAAAGCUUGUUGAUUUUGGUCUUGCCAAGCUGCUAAAGCUUGACCAAACUAGGACAUAUACCGGGUUAAGAGGAACAUGGGGUUAUGUUGCACCUGAGUGGCAUAGAAACGUUCCCAUAACAGUGAACAAAUGUAUACAGCUUUGGGGUUGUGUUAUUGGAGAAUAUGCUGCAGAAGAUGUGUGAAUAUGGACAUACUUGAAGAUCAAGUUAUCCUUGAGAAUUGGGUAUACCAUUGUUUGGAAGCCGACGAACUGGAUAAGCUAGUGAAGGAUGAAGAUGUUGACAAGAAUGAACUUCAAAUGAUGGUUAAGGUAGGACUUUGGUGCAUCCAAGAUGAGCUAGCAUUUCGCCCUUCGAUGAAGAAGAUCAUACUAAUGCUGGAAGGGACUGUAGAGAUACCAAACCCGCCAAGUUUUACCUCCAUUUCUAGUUCCAUUUCCUGACUAAGCCUUGUUGUUAACUGAUUAGGAAACUAGCUAGCUUCUGUGUAAUUUUGUUGCAGCGUUGGUUUUGUUGUUUGUUUUAGUUUUAAGUAAAGUUUAUCUUCAUGUACUAUGCUACAAUCUGAUCCGUACAAAAUGAAUAACAAGUAAAUUUCAUACUUCACCGAGCAUACAAAUUAGGUGGUGUAUGGUUUCUUUAAUUUAGGUGAUAAGUCUAUCAAUGUAUACAAUGAAGCAGAAGAAAAUCUUUCUCACCGGCGUGUGUGGGGUUUCAUUCUCAUUGAUCUGCGUCAGCACCUGCCCUAGCUUAGGCUAGGCUUGGUGAUUGUCCCAUGGUUUCCUGUGUAGUUUGUUUUUGUGGUUUAGUUUUCAGUUUUAUCUAGCUCUUCAUGAUCUAUGGGAGAGUGUAGAGCUUUAGUUCAUGUGUUCCCACCAUCAUCCUUGUUGGCCCUUGUUGGUCCUUCCCAUUGUCCACCCUUGUCGGCGAUAUUUCUCGUGGGUUUACACCUACAUGCUUUCUUGGUCUCGUGGUGGCGAUCCUUGUGUUGGUCCAUAGUGGAUGAUAUGGCCUCUUUCUUCACCAAUUUCGAGUUUCUUCAUUGUGUGAUCCCUAGUAGGGGUGAGCACGGGCUGGGCCGGGCCCAUUUUUUAAGGAACCGGACCGGACAUGAGUUUAAAAUAAAUGGGCCGGGCCGGGCUGGGUACAUCAUAUUUCAAUACAGAAAUCAGACCUAACCUGGCCCGUUUGAAACGGGCCGAUCCGGGCCAGGUCCACGGGUCUUUUUUUUUUCUCUCUCUGUUUAAGAUUGAUUCAGCUCCAGAACCCAGUUCCAAAUUGCAAUUCCAAUUCCAAAUCCAGUUCCAAAUCGUCACCAAACCUAGUUCUUACUUUAAUGUUCUUCAAUCUUUACAUGAGCAUACCUCUCUCUAGAUCUUUUGCUUUCUGCAAAAAUGGCUCAGAAUACGUUUUUCUAAUUGGCCUUUUUCUUAGCAUUAUUCACACUCACUUCACUCUCCCACAUCCUACGCGAAUCCGACCCCUCAACUCCUCCGCCUUCUCCCUCCAACUCCACCCCCGCGACGCCCUCUUCAAUUUCCAGCACAAAGACUACAAAUCCUUCACCUUAACCAGCCUCGACCGCGACUCGGCCCGAGUUAACUCGCUUCAAACCAAGCUCCCCUUGGCACUCCAGGGGAUCAAAAAUCAGAUUGCGACUGCGAUGAUGUCGGGGUGGUGGAGGAGAUGACUGACGGAGAGUGGGUGGAACCGUAAAGGGGAAGGGACGAUGCAUGCGAGACGACAAGAGAUGUAACCAAUGAUAGAACAUAUACAUCUAGCAACCUGGGAAAACUUAGGGAUCUUUAUAGAGAUGUAAGUGAUCAAAAAGGAGAAACCAGUAUGGACAGGAUUCCCAGGGGAGAUGGUGGUGGUGGUGAAGAGGUGAUUAGACUUGGCGAUUCUCGUUGGAAAUAGCACGGAGAGAGAGAGAGAGAGAUCGAGAGAGAGAGAGAGAGAGAUUGAGAAUCGAGUCGACAGAUCUGAAAGGGAGGAUUGAAGAGAGGAGAGUAUUCGAGAAGAUUUGAGAAAAUAGGAGAGGAAUAGGAAAAUGUUACAAACGGGCAGUUCGAGUACCCGUUUUCUUACACUUUUGGAAUCGGCCCGCCCCUAAAAUUUCAAAGCCCCGGCCCGCCUUGCCCCGUUUCUUUAAAAAAAUUAGGAACCGGCCCGUACCCGCCCCGAACCGCGAUUACCCGCCCCGACUCGCAGUUCCUAUACCCGUUUGCCCACCCUUAAUCCCUAGUGAUUGUGGAGGGAGGCGGACAGUUGUGCGGAUUUCUAGUGGCGGCGUUUCUAGGAUUUUCUAUGUAGUUUGUUUGUGUGUGAUGGGCUCUAAGUUUCUUAGGAUGUUUUCUUAUGUGCGUUUGUGGCCCAUUUUCUUUUUUGUGCUUAACUUGUAAUGGGCUUUGUUGUACUUGUUUUGGUUAGUAAGGAAAUGUACAAUUUAUAAAAGAGAGUUUUAACGAAAAACUCACGGUACUGUUCACUUUAAUGAAAAACCACAUUUUUACACUAAAAAGUCAAACUUGGUACUAUUCACUUUACCUUUUAUUUUGUCCUUAUCGUUAAAAGUCAAAGUUUUCAAGCCAUUUUCAUUAAUUUUCCUUUUAUAAAAUAAAUAAAUAAAUGAAGUGAUGCAAACUUUAGGGUUACUUACAUUUUAUACCUUUUAGGUUUGAAGUGUUUUUAAAAAUUGGUCAUGAGGUUUCCAUUUUUUCAAACUGCACGUUUACACCUUUUGUCUAUUUGAACGUCUAAUUAUCCAUUAAAUUGAUGAGUUUUUGGGUCAAUUUGGUACAAAUGUGGCUAUACAUAUCAACCCAAUUAUGUGUUCCACGCUCGCAAAGUUAUCAAUUUAAUGAAGACUCAAAACAUUUGUUAGACAAAAAACAUAAUUGAUACAGUUCUAAAAUCUCAAGGUGUAGUGUGAAAAAGUGAAAUCUUAUGGCCCAAUUGACACAGAACGUUAUGUGACAAUUUACUUGAGUAGAAAAAAAAACUCGAGCAUCAUGAUAUUUUGAUGUGAAAAAAAAAACGCAAACGUUUGCUUUUUUUUUUUUUUUUUUUUUUUUUUUUUUUAACAAACGAUAUUAUCUACACUAAGGUGGAAGAAGAUGAAGCUUAGCCUUACAAUAAGCUAAUAAUAAUAUGGUUCAAAUUCGUCUUUGACGAGAAUCGAAUCUAAGACCUCUUACUUACUAAUAAAGAAUGGUAAGCCUUUCUCUAUUGCCCCAAAAAAAGAGAGUAGUCGUUGUCUCAUUUGACGGAUUGAAAUAACGGAGUUUAGUGUCCGAUUAAACCAAGGGGAGCAUGAGUGCAAUUUGACUCACUCCUUAACUUGGCAAAGCAAUCCGGCCGGUCCAAGUGUACUGAUGAUCCGCGUGGCAAAAUCCCUGCUAAACUGCCGAAGGGAACCAAUGAGGCCUCCCGCAGCAAAACUACUCUAAAGAAUAAACACGCGAUCUGAGUCGUCGGCGAGUAUCGACGUCAAAAACCAUUCGCUGGAGCAAAGCAGGUCACUGAAAAUAAAUAAAUAAAAAUUAAAAAAAAACACGGAAGCUGAAGCUGUUGCGGGAAAAAGCUUGAUCAGAUUAGGGUUUCGCGAAUUCGAAUCGCCGAAAAGGUUCAAUCAAGUUAGGGCUUUUAUCAAAAUUUUAGUUAUAAUUGCUUAGUUUGUUUGCUGAAAUUUGGAAAUUUGCAGGAUAACUGAAAUGGGGGACGGCCUAUGGAACCGGCAGCAGCAGCAGCAGCAUCAACUUGGUCCCUCUGGCGGCGUGCAUAAACGACCUCGUUCUGACUACGGUACGUUCUCUGUGGCCGUGUCUCAUAGUUAUUUUCUUUAAUUGGAUGGAACUGUGAUUGGAUUUUUUGCAUUAUAGAUUUAGUUGUCUAACAAUUUAAAUAUGUGACCUUUUUUGUUUUUUAUUCGAGCGAUAUUAUAGUCUAAUCGAAACUAUGGGGAGUGGAGGAUCUGAACUUGGGUGUAAAGAGGGAGCACACUGCUCAAGUGUUAGCUCGAAGUCUGAUUUUUGUGCCAUAAGUGUUUUUGCUUUAGUAGUUCUUGAUGGGUUUUCGGGUUUCACUGUAAAAUUAUGUUCAAAAUGGUGAAUUUUGUGUGUAGAGUAUCUAUCGUUGACAAAGAUUCCAGUUCGGUUGUCUGAUGACUCUGCUUGUUUUUAUCUCCAAUUAUUCCUGCAGAUAUGCAGUUUCUGGUUUUGUAGCUAGGUGCCUUCUUUUCUUUUCCUUUUUUUGAAAAAAAAUGAAAAAUGUUUGCUUCUGUUUUUAUUCUUACAUCUUCAGGUACUUCAUGAAGUAUAUAAUAUAGUUUAGCCUUUUUGUUACACUUGCUACAAUUGGGGUGAACAGUCAUACUUGUAUGAUUCCAUAUCAUAAUGUAUCUUUCAAGAAAGCUUUACUAGCAGAUGAUUUCUGUCGUUAUUUUCUUUGUAACCAAAUCACAGUUUGUCGCUCUUAUGUUUCUUUCAGUCCAUACUGAAUAAGCUGAACCCAAGAAAACCUGGUUCAGUGUGGUUGUUGAGACCUAUGUGCAAAAUGAAAAGUACUACAUUACACGGUACUUAAGAAUGGGUAUUUUCCCCAACCCAACCAAAUCCCAAACCUCUAAAAUGAUAUCAAGUAGAUUCUUCCCUUUAUGUGCGGCCAGUCUUCCAAUCUAAUGCUAUUUUUCAAUAAUGAUGGUAAUAAGAUUCCCCAUACAUAUUUAUGAUGCAUAUUAUUGAUAUAAAUUUUGAUAACCAAAUCCCCUUUUUUUGUUGAUUUAGUUAUUUGUCUGUUGAAUAGUUCUUGUUAUAAAUUCAUAGUCACGAUCAAAAGCAUAGCCUUGUAUAGUCUUAUGUAGAUGUUUCGAUUGGUAUGUUUUCUUUGUACUUUUGAACCUUGAAAGCAGUUUUACUAGUUCAUCACCACCUUGUUUGUUAACUGCUAGAUGAGGUAUAUUCUACAUCCCCCUAUUACUUCUCAACUGGUUUCUUGAUUUAUGUUCUUUCAUUUCUUCUUUUUAUGCCUUUUCUCUUGUUCAAUAGUUGUAAUAUUUACAGCUGAAUUAUGUCUGUUUGUUAAUGUUUUCUCAGUGUCUUGCCUUUUUCAUAAAGGGUAAAAUAUGCGUUCCGUGCAUUAAUUUUGUCAAGGAUCUCAACUUUUAUUUUUCAAGUUAGGAAACAACUUUUCCCCAAUUUAUUUUGUUUUCAGGGGAAAUGUGAAACAUGGUGAAUAGUUAGAAACACAGAUAGGAACCUUUCAACUGGAAUGAGUAUCUCAGUCUUCCUCAGAGCAUCUGUUGUUGGCCCUCACUUUUAACGUUUGUCGCCUCUCUCUGCUUUUCUUUCUCCUUUGUAUCUCGUCUCUCACACUCUCUCUACACCCUAAAAACCUGCACUCCAGCCCCACUCCCAAAGCCUGUCUGAGAGCCAUUCUUCGAAACCAAUAUGUGGACCCUCUUCUUCUUCAACACUCCCCCCCCCCCCUCUCUCUCUCCCUCUCUCCCUUCUCAAUGUUGUCAUCUCUGUCUCAGAUGUGAAACCAUUUGGUUGUGGAUAAUAAGUUUGAUGUGAAUAAUUCUUACGUGAUAAAUUUGAAUGAUAGAAUUUGGUAUCAUUUCAAGUUAAAUGGAGUCGACAAGAAUUUUGUUGAACUUGUGGAGAAAUGGAAGAUGCUACUUGUAUCAGAUAUAGAGCUGAUAUUGGAUAUUUGACAUUGCUUUAUUUCAUUGUAUCAGUUUCUUUGUGGUGUCGAAAUGGUUAUGGUACUUGUAUGGCAUAUAGAGCUGAUGUUGGAUGUUUGAUGUUGCUUUAUUUUGUUGUAUCAGUUUCUUUUUGGUGUUGGAAUGGUUAUACUGUACUUGUAUCUGUUUCUUUAUCUCUUCUUUUGGUGAUGCUUUAUAUUACUUUAUUUUAUUUUUAAAUCUGGAAUGGUUAUACUGUACUUGUAUUGGGUGUAUAUUUGGUGUUGGAUGUUUGAUUGAUAUGAAUGUUCCAGUUAAAAGGCUCUAACUCACAAUGGUUUUGGUUAGAUUUGCUACGUCCAUGGGAUAAGUCAAUUUCACUUUUGUGCCAUUUAAAGGGGCUCUAACUCACAAUAAAUGUUUGGUUCAUCCGCACGUCUUGUCAAAAUGCAUUAACAUUGGUUAUGUGUUUGGUUAUAAUACUUAGUUGAAGCUAAUUUUCAAAUAUUGCUGCUUAAUUGCAAAUUCUGUAAUUCAAUCCUUUCUCAUACUAACAAUGAAUUCAUUUUCACUGUUUUUGUUUUAAGAAAUAGUUUUCAAACUAUUCUACCAGACGCAUUCUCUAAUGUUAAAAUGCAAAAAUAUUAUCUUGUUUUCAUUUUUUGAAAACGUUUUAUGCAGAUGGUUUUGGAAAACAUCACCAGACAGGUCCUUACUUUUCUGUAUUGUCAACCUGUCUUCAGGUCAAGAGAUGCAUGGUUAUUUUGCACGAGAGGAUGAUAUUGGCGGUCCUAGGACUGUAAAGGAUAGCAGAUCAAUCGGAUCAGCAUAUGACCGCUAUCUUCAGAAUGCGGUGACUUUCUUAAGCAUUUGAAACUAUGCUUAUUAUUCAUUGUGAUACAGCUCCCUGUUUUUGUAUUUGUACCAAAACAUUAUCCUACUUUCUUUUAAAGGAAAUGCCUUCGUACACUUCUGGAGAAGCGAGUACUUUUGGUGGAGCUGGAAUGGGAAGGGCUGUUGGUGGUGGAAUGUCAGGUCCUCCAAUGGCUGAUCAUUCUAUGAGGGGUCGUCCUGGAGCUAUGUCUUCUGAUCUACUAACAAAUGGUCGAAAUAUGAAUCUUGCUAAUCAGCUCCCAGUAGAUGCAACGGCUAGGCCUGGACGUGAAACAGUUCCUUUGCCUCUGGAUGCAUCCAGCACUUUAUAUGUUGAAGGACUUCCUCCUGACAGCACAAGGAGGGAAGUAGCUCGUAUCCUUUAUGAUCUUUCUAUUAUGCUUAAGAGUUAGUGCAUUUUGCUGUUUCCAAUCUUAUUGCUUAACCCAAUAAAUUUUCCAUCGCUGAUCCUUUACAUUACUCCAAGAUAUCUUUCGUCCUUUUGUGGGAUACAAAGCAGUGAGGCUUGUGAGCAAAGAGUCCAAACAUGUAUGUGGGGGAGGAUUAUUGUAAACAAUUACUUUUCUUAGUCAUUCUGUUUUUAUUGUUCACUCUGACUUGAGAUUCUUGUUGUGCUACUUGAUUUGACUUUUGGGAAGUUUAUAAUCUGUCUUCACACUAAUAUUCCGGUUUGUCCAUAAUGCAGCGUGGUGGGGACCCUCUUAUUCUUUGUUUUGUGGAUUUUGAAAAUCCAGCCUGUGCAGCAACUGCUAUGAGUGCGUUGCAAGGUGAUUGCUUUUUCUUGUCAUCAACCUUGGUGGCUAUCAGUUUCAAAGAAAGCUUGUUUCUUCCUUUUGUUUUUAUUUGUUUCCUUUAUAACUUUGUAACUGCUAUUUCAAUGGUACCUUAUUCAAUCAUGUAAAUGGUAAAUUUAUGCUAGAAUUCUUCAUGCAUAGCCAGGUGUAAAGAGGAUGAGGCAGUUCACAAAAAUGUUAUAGAUGGUUUCUUGUAAUUGGAGUUUAUGAUACCUCUACACUCUAGAUCCUGUAGAACUAGCUUGCGUUGCUCAUUAUAAUUUCCCAUGCUAGUGGUUUUUGAAAUGCUGGAAGAUGCUGACAUUUGUGUUGCUUUCGCAGGUUAUGAAAUGGACGAACACGCUCCAGAUUCUAAUUACUUGCGGCUGCAGUUUUCUCGGUUCCCAGGUCCCAGGUCUGGACCUGGACGUAACAAGAGGUGAUAGGCAUUAGGUAAUGAGAAACAUCUGUGUUGACGUAAUCAAGAUUAUAUUAGCUCUUAUACAUUCCAUAUAUAUUCUCCUUUCUGUAGUGGUAACCACAUUGUACCCAGAAUAUACAAUGUUAAUUGCUCAGGCUUGGGCACACACUAACUGUAAGUACUUGUUAUGCACGCUGUUGUUUCCAGGUAGUGAAUUCAGAUAGUUUUAUAGUAGUUCUAUUUAACGGAGAUCUGAUUUUGCAUUUCCAUGGUCUACGAAAUUUACUGAAGGAAUGUUUUUAAUUCUGAAUAUCUUCUUCUCUUUGACGAAAUUUACUGAAGGAAUGUUUUUAAUUCUGAAUAUCUUCUUCUCUUUGACAAUAUACCAUGUAUAGACUACCGCAAAAUUAGUAGAGAUAGUUUCCAUACAGAUUGUUUCCAUAUUCUGGAGGACUUCCAUUGCCGGAGUAUCUUGCCACCAUAGUGUCCCGUGCCAAUGACAUAAUGUGUUGUGGAGACACUUCAAAUGGCACUAGGCAUGUGUUGUACCUGUCCCAUGAAAGUUGCUCUCCAUAUUUAGAAGCGGGAAUCAUUCUUGGGGAUGGAGAUACAUAUGAAGAAGAAUAAAACCCUAAUCAAAGGGGUGAAAUCUUCCACAUUUGAUCACCAAAUUAGGUGGCUUAAGCAUUCAAGUGCAACAUGAAAUGAACUGCCUCCGUACAAGAGUAGUUAGAAGCAAUCUGGAUGUUGCAAUCCUAAUGGGCCAAGAGUUGGAUUAUAGAACUAGAAAUGCUUGUAGUCUUAUAGAUGUGGCUAGCUGCCGAGGCACAAUCCCCUUGAAAACUAGUGGUUUUUUAGCAUGAUUUGCAGGCUUCCGUUAUAGAUAUUGUAUGGGAAGUGAUUUCCCAACUCUCUUUCUUACCUCGUACAACUCCCUUUUUUCUUAGGUUUAGGGUUGGAUAAAUUAAAGGAGAAUCAAUUAAAAGAACAAAAGGUGAAUGCAUAAGGAGAAAACGAAUGAAACCCUAAUCAAAGUUGUGAAAUCUUCCACAUUUGAUCGCCAAAUUACUGAUGGAGAUGCUGCUUUCUCCUUGUAUUUAGGGUUGGAUAAAUCAAAGGAGAAUUAAACGAAAGAAACAAAAGAUGAAUAACGUGAUUGCAGGAGGAGAAAACGGGAAUGUGAAGAUCACUACCCUAUUUAAUUUGUCUUUUAUUGUAGGUUGCACUGCCUGUAGAACUGUAGAAGAGCAAAGACAGUGCAUGAUGAGAAUAGACAGUGCAUGGUGUCAUGUCUAUUGGUGUUAGAAAUUUGAUCCGAGUCUUUCCUUUUUGGAUUACAGUGAAGGACUGAGGCUUAUGCUAUAUCGUCCCUCCCAAUGCUAAGCACUAGCUAGUGGGCUGCCGAUUACAUCACAUGGGCUUUGAACUCUGUCAAUUAUUUCAAAAGACCUUUGCCUCUUCAAUGAGAGCCUCUAACCCAUAAUCCUAUGCUCCUAGAGCUAGAGCUUCUCCCCACCCUUCUUGGCAUUAACACACAGCUGGGAUAUACUUUUGUAUCUGUUUCUUCACGUGAUUAAUGAUUCGUUUGAUUGCUUUCUUCAAAAGGCACUUAUACUGUAACUGCUUUUGUUGUAAACACUUUGAUUUUUUUUUAUUGAACAUCCAAAGUGUUACACAGAAAAAAGCACUUAAAAAGUGCCUCCUGAAAGAGCAUAUGAUAGGUGCUUCUCUAAAAAACACUAUUACGAGCCAAAAGCACUUCUAAAUUUUUUUUGCCAAGCACAACAUAAAACGCUUUUGGCUUUUAUAGAAGCAAUCUCAAACGAGCCCUAAGUAAAAAGAGGUUUAUAUAGGCCACUAGACCCAAACGAAAGAGAAAACUAAUAGUGGGCAAUGAAUUGGUUUUCGAUCUACCGUCAAAUUGGCAUAGAUUAUGAUUCUCUCCCUUCUUCUUUCCAUCCCCUCCUCUCACAUUCUCUAUUUUGUCUUUCUCUUUCUAUAAAAACUUAAUAUAAGAUGUUGACGUAGCUUAACCGUGACCGUUCAAAUAAGAGGGGAGGGAAGGGGAGGGAAGAAAAGAGGGGAGAGAAUCCUACUCCAAUUGGCACAACAUUCGGCAUUGUUUUGCAAGGAUGCUUUCUUCUUAGCAUUGAUUUACACACACUCUAGUAUGUGGUAUAAAACGAGCGAGGGUUUGGCUGGAGAACGAGUCUGAGUCGUUAAUGCCAUGUGGGCUGGAGGGUUUCAUUUGGUGCCAUUACUCCUUUUCGUGUUUCUAUCAUCCUUUUGGAACUGGAAGAGAAGUGGAGGGGAAAAAGGUAGUUUAGGGCAAAAAGGAUAUUGAGUUUAUAAACCAGGAAAAUGGCUAAGCAAUUAUUUGGUGCCAAUGUGACCCUUACCAAAAUAUAGACUAGUUGUGGUAAAAAAGAAAAAGGCAAAAGGGGGUAACUUUAAAUACAAAUUGUACCAAAGUGUAAAUUGUCCCACAGCUUGUCCAGGGACCAGAUCAUUGAGUUGUUGCUGCAAGCCUGCAAGGAGAAAGUUGUGGAUUAGAUAGACGCAUCGUCUUCGUUUGGUAUCAUUCCAAGUCGUCCUGGGUGUUUCUUCUUCAAUUUGGCCUCUUUCUUCCUUUGGAUUUUUGAGCUCAUGAGCAAAUUGAUUGUCGUUUUCUGUUUCCUGAAGACAAAAUUUGACUGUUUGAAAAAACACUUUUUCAUGAAAAAUUAGUUUGAAAUCUAUUCUACACCUAAAUGGACAUCAAUCAUUAAUUUUGUGUUAACUAAGAAUGUAUGUAUGAAUUCUUGUAUUAGGAUUUAGUAGUAUCUCUCUUUAUUUUUAAGUGAGAAACCUUAAGUUUGAUUCUCAUAAAUUACGAGUUCGAAACCAAACUCUUCUCGGCCCAUUAGUGUAACUCUGUUAGGCUUUCAUCCCUGAUAUCGUUGUAUAACAAAACUAUAUGCAUGAAUUAUUACUUGAGGACGGAGGAAAAAACAAAUUCACUUGACUUAUUUCCAAAUUAAGGCUUUAUUUCUUCCUGAUUUUAGAAUUACCUGAUUAUCUAGCCUAUGCUCAUACCACAUUGAACUUCAACGAUUCAAACUGUUUAUUUUUUAAGUUGCACCUCAUAGAUCAUUUUUGUGAAAUAUUAGCUAAAUUAAAAAUAUAUGAGGUAUCUAAUUGAGUACAAAAAAAAAUUGACGAACACUAUAUAUUCUAAGAAGCAUAUGAAAUUUCAUCUUAACAAUUAAAUAGGCAAAUAAUUUCGGAUUGAAUUAAAUUUUUGUAAGGAUUGUCUAUUAAUUAAGACUUAUAAAAUAGAAGGUACAUAUCGUUGAAAUUUAAUAUACUGUAAGCUCCACAACUAAUCCUCAUUUAAAAAAAAUAGAAAUCCCUUGUUAAGGCAUGUGCUUUUGAGUAGGUAAAAUUUGAAACGUGAGAUGUCGUUCACUAUGGAAACAAAGAUCGAAAGCCUUCAUGGUCCCAUUCCUUGAAUCAGAACAAAAGAACUUUAAAGAAAAGUCCUUUAACUCUGUCCAACUUUGGAUACUUUUGUUCAUGCAUGCAUUCACUGACUGAUCUGAUCUCGUUGUUUUGAAGGGAAGAGAUUUUUCAGUGUAAUCGGUAUAUGAGUUGGUACAUCACUUGUUAAUAUACAAAUGAUGAGAUAUAUGUGUUAAAAAGUUAAUAACUUAAAAAAUAAAAUUUUCCACCACUUACAUAAAAACAUGUGAUAUACUACUUGUAUUUCCGUCACAAUGAAAAAUUUCUCCUUGAAGGAUAAGAGAGGAAAUUCCAGACUAAACUACGUGGCACUACAUGCAGCAUGUCAAUUACAUCAACUCUUCAAGCUUUCAACCCUUUCAUGGCAUCUUCAAAGCAUAUGCCUAACUUCUUAGAAAUAUGACCAACAUCUAACAUUUUUGUAAUCCAUAAAGAAAUACAUACGUUAACAUUUAGAAACAAAAUCCAGACAAUAAGAGAGAGAUGGCUGUCCAGAAAAAAAGUAAGAGACAGAUGCAUCCAUUGAUAUAAAAAAGAAAGAAAAAAGAGAUGCAUCAACAACUCAAUAUUUAUUACCUAUUGAAUCGCAGUUUUACAUACAUAUCAUUGCUAAUGAGAUUGGCACUAUUAGUUAUCGAGGACAUAGCAAUCUGUAUUGUAUUUACAAUUAUAUGAGUUAAACUUCAUACAUCCUCCGAUUAAAUGACAAUAACUACUAUAAAAAUGUUUAUAUGUAAGUAGGCUACAUAAAUACACAUAAACAAAUAAGUUCUUGUAUAUAUGCUAUACUUUGAUUUGUUUAUAACAGGAAAAGGUUCCACAUUAUUGCUAGCUAGGCUAAGCUCACAUCCCUCUCACUUAAUGUAGAUAAUAUCAUUUGUUAAAAAUAAAAAAAAGACUCAACAAGGAAUCACUAUUUGUUUCUUUAUAACCAUAAAUUUAUGUAGAGCAACCGAUUGAGUAUCUCAAAGUUCUUAUUCGUAUACAACACACGUUGAGACAGGUAAUAAUUAUAACAAAAUUAAAGACUAUAAUCUUAUAACGUUUUUAGAUUAGCUAAAACAUUGGUAUACAUAUUUAGCUUGCUAAAAACAUAUGUCGAAAUGUGCCACACCUGGAGGAUUUGUAACAAAUUCAUCGUUUUAGAACAAUAAGAAAUGACACGUUGCCUGUAAGAAUUUUAUAGUUUGUUGAAUGCCAUCAACAUCCAUCACGUUUGAAAAUAUGGGCGGCAUUGUCUGGGUUGUAAGACCCCUAUAUUCGUUUGUUCCUGUGCUAAACAAGGAUGGCCUCCCUUGCCCUCCUCUUUAGAUUUCUGUUAGGAUGAGAUUAAGGUGACUUGGGGCUUGUUCCAAGUUUGUGUUUUCUACCUUCUUCUCAUUGUGUAGUUCUUGUUGGUCUCUCUAGGCCUUCUGUUUCUUUUGGCUUCGGCCCUGGUAUUGAUUUUCCCAGUUUCUCAAAAAAAAAAAAAAAAAAAAGUUAUGGGAGUCCCUCUCUCACAUUAAUAAAGUCUGGACCCAAGAAAAAGCAAAAGGAUCCGGCAAGGAUCCGUUUGCCGGAUCCUUUUCCACAGGUUUGGGUACAUUAAUGAUCACUACAAGAAAAAGGAAAAGGAUCCGGCAAUAAAGUUUGGACCCAAGAAAAAGGAAAGGGAUCCGGCAGGGAUCCGUUUGUUGGAUCAUUUCAAAAUUUAAAAUUUAAAAUUAAAUAUAAAUAAUACCUACAAAAACUGACCGCACAAUGUAUGAUGAACGAUCACGAUCACGGGAUCCCUAGGAAAAGAAUCCGGCGAGGAUCCUUUUCCCGAGAAAAGUAGGCUUUAGUCACGAUUUGUUAAGAUUAAUCUAACCUAAAAGCUAUACCACAUUCUAAACACAAAAUUUGGUAAGAAUAUGAUGAUUUAUUUUAUUUUCUCAAACUAUAGAGCAGUUACGUACUCACACACCGGCGACAAUUAUCCUCCCCCAAAUCUGGGUAUAUUUCUACUAAAAAAAAUGUUUACAUAUAGAAACCGUAUAGUAAGUUUAUUGAAAUUGGCUCUGUAUUAAUGGAAUCUCCGCAUCCGUACAUUAAAUUAGAGUGGAACUCGAGGAAAUGGAGUACAUACGAAGAUAAGAAGACGAAGAAGAAAACUACAAACUUGGAGCUUCAAGGAGAGGGACUGAGCAGGGAGUAUAAAGAAAACAUUGUAUUUUUCUUCGAAGAUCUUUCACAUUUUCUUCUUGGUUUCAAGGAGAGGGAACUGAGCAGGGAGUAUAAAGAGCCAAAGCCCAGAAUUCCACAAUGAAAAAGAAAACAUUGUAUUUUUCUUCGAAGAUCCUUCACAUUUUCUUCUUCGCUUUACAGAAUCAAAUAGCAUAUUCUCACCCCCAAGAAACGAUAUAAGAAAACAGCCAAAUUAAGGUAAAUUCGAUAUAAUGCAUUUUUUUAUAGCAACUUGGCAAACAAAAACAUAGUAGAAGAAAACAAGGAAUAUACAAAGAAAUUAAGGAAGUUUGGGAAAACGAAGAAAUAUAAUAAAGGACCAACUCUCAAUGAGUUUAUAAUACUAUAUACGGUGCAAAUGUAUAUGUUCAGGAAAUAAACUUUUAGCGAAAAUAAGCUGCAAAUUUGACUAAAUUUUUCUUCAUAUUUACACUCAAUUUUUUUCAAGAAUAUAUAUAGAGUUUGGCCAAAGGAAUUAACUUCGUUCCUUAACGAUUGAGGAGGAGUUCCUCCCCAAUUCACAUUGUGGCUGAUUAUGGACCUUCAUUCUUAUAAUCGGAAGAGUAUAGAAACUACUCUUUUUAUCGUCGAAUCCGGAAGGAAGAAGUGGUUGUAGCUUUGAAGAAGAUGAAGCAUAAAAAAGCAAUAGGCCCAGACGAUAUACCAAUCGAAGUGUGGAAACUUUUGGGAGAGACGGGUAUAACAUGGCUCACUGACCUUUUCAAUAGGAUUUUGAAAACGAAGAAGAUGCCAAAUGAGUGGCGAACGAGCACUUUGGUGCCUAUCUACAAGAAUAAGGGCGACGUACAAAAUUGCAUGAACUAUAGGGGUAUUAAGCUAAUGAGUCAUACAAUGAAGCUCUGGGAGAGAGUCAUUGAGCAUAGAUUGAGGCAAGAGACACGGGUUUCGGACAACCAAUUCGGGUUCAUGCCAGGGCGCUCAACCAUGGAGGCAAUCUAUCUCUUACGAAGAUUGAUGGAAAGAUAUAGAGAUGGGAAAAAGGAUUUACACAUGGUCUUUAUAGAUUUGGAAAAAGCGUAUGAUAGGGUCCCAAGAGACAUUCUUUGGAGGAUUUUAGAGAAGAAAGGAGUACGAGUAGCAUAUAUCCAAGCUAUAAAGGAUAUGUAUGAAGGAGCAAAGACUGCCGUAAGAACUCAUGAAGGACAAACCGAAAGCUUUCCCAUAACUGUAGGAUUACAUCAAGGCUCAUCCUUAAGUCCUUACCUUUUUGCGUUGGUAAUGGAUGAGUUAACAGGACAUAUUCAAGAUGAUAUUCCUUGGUGUAUGCUUUUCGCAGACGAUAUAGUGUUGAUAGAUGAAACUCAGGAAGGGGUAAAUGCAAAGCUUAACCUUUGGAGAGAAGUGUUGGAAUCUAAAGGUCUUCGCCUAAGCCGAUCAAAGACAGAAUAUAUGGAGUGCAAGUUCAGUGCAAAUGGAGGCCAAAACGAGUUAGGGGUGAGGAUCGGAGAUCAAGAAAUACCAAAGAGCGACCGUUUUCGUUACCUAGGAUCUAUCUUGCAAAAGAACGGAGAAUUAGAUGGAGAUCUCAACCAUAGAAUACAAGCUGGAUGGAUGAAGUGGAAGAGUGCAUCCGGCGUGUUGUGUGACCGCCGUAUGCCACUGAAGCUCAAGGGAAAAUUUUAUAGGACGGCAAUAAGGCCGGCGAUGCUGUAUGGCACAGAAUGUUGGGCGGUGAAACAUCAACACGUACACAAAAUGGGUGUAGCGGAGAUGAGGAUGCUUCGUUGGAUGUGUGGGCACACGAGAAAGGAUAAGAUUAGGAAUGAGGAUAUCCGGGGUAAAGUAGGAGUAGCCGAAAUUGAAGGAAAGAUGAGAGAAAAUCGGUUACGGUGGUUUGGACAUGUGCAAAGAAGGCCUACUGACGCUCCGAUUAGAAGAUGCGACUAUGGGACAGAGGUUCAGGGCCGAAGGGGUAGAGGAAGACCUAGGAAAACUUUGGAAAGAGACUCUAAGAAAAGACUUAGAGUACUUGGAUCUAACGAAGGACAUGACACAGGAUCGAGCACAAUGGCGUUCUAAGAUUCAUAUAGCCGAUCCCACUCAGUGACUUGGAUUUUCCAAGUCUCCAACCGAGAAGUUUUCCUCACUCGGGAAAUUAAGGGAACACUACCCCAACCUACAUGCUCCACUCAGAAAGCUUCAACAUACAAGCUUCAACAAAAGAAAAUUCAAAGAACUUAGCGAAGAAGGCUUUGGUGUAUUUAACACAAUACGUUGAAAUGAAGGAAAGCUUAUUUAUUGAUAUCCCCGAUAAGCUACAAAUAUGUACAUAUACAUGAGUCAAAAUAAACACACAAGAGGGAGCCUUCACAAAGGUUGCUUAGGAGAAGUCUCAGCAGUCGGUAGAGCCCCAGAAAGAGAAGGCACCGGAGGGGGAUCAUUUGGAGCCUCAGUACUGGACAGAACCCUAGAAGGAGGAGGCAUCAGAGGUUGAUCAUUUGGAGCUUCAUUACGCGGUACAGCCCCAGAAGACGAAGGCAAUAAAUGCCUUUGGAACAAACCCACAAAUCUCUGAUGAUCAAGUAAAACCUGACCAUCAGUUUCCUUCAUCUGGUCAAGCUUCCUCUUCAUGUUUGUAGCAUAGUCAUGUGCGAGCCGGUGCAACUGUUUAUUCUCAUGCUUGAGCCCUCUAAUCUCCUGUUUGAGACUCAUCACUUCAGCCGCCAAUGAUUCAACUUGGCGGGUUCGAGCAAAUAGGCGUUGGGCCAUAUUAGACACAGAACCUGCACACUGAACACUGAGAGCCAGCGAAUCCUUAACAGCUAACUCAUCAGACCGUUUGGAAAGUAGUCUGUUAUCUUUGGGAGUGAGAAGGUUCCUGGCCACCACCGCAGCGGUCAUAUCAUUCUUCAUCACGGAAUCCCCAACGGUAAGAGGACCAGUAGGGGAGACGAAGGAUGGGCGCCAUAUGUUGUCUGGAGAAGGCGGGGCUGCCUCUUCAACAAGGUUCAAGUCAAAACGACGGUCGGAGGGGCCAGACAUUUUCAAAGGUGUUGAAGAGAGAAGAGGUCGGACAAAUCAAGAUCUUAGAAGUGCAAGAAUGAAGCUUCUACUGGUGGAGAUUCAAGUGUGCUUUGGAACUUAAUGCCAGCCCCUAUAAAAAUCUGCACUCGACGGAGCUCGCCUGCUCAGAAAUCGAAGAGGCGUUUGCUUUCUCAAAAGCUGGGCUGCUUAGAGAUCACGAGGGUUGAUCUCAGAAAUCGAAGAGGCGUUUGCUUUCUCAAAAGUUGGGCUGCUCAAAGACCACGAAGGCCGAUCUCAGAAAUCGAAGAGGCGCUCGCUUUCUCAAAAGCUGGGCUCCCCAGAGACCACGAGGGCCGAUCUCAGAAAUCGAAGAGGCACCUACUUUUCCAGCCUUGUCAGCACCUGUCACACGCACACUCAGCUUUGCGGAAAUUAUGGGCAUUCUGUCGAAGACUUCUGGGGAAGUAGAAAACACAUGAAUCUUACUGUUCAAUCACCCACUUCCCACACGCAACAAUAGCUCAUGGGUACCACAGAUAACUUUGCCAAAGUUCUCUGCCAAAGUUGAGCACGUGAAGCUUGCAGCUCCCACUACAUCGCUCUGACCAAGAAGGGUAAAAGAAUAGCAAAGAAACAGCACUAACAAAGUUUAGACCCAUAAAUUUUGAAGGUCUAGCUACCAUAUUAUUACCCACAAGGGUAAAGGAACAGUACCACUGCUGGAUAAUUGGAAAGUCCCUGUGUGUCAACCUCUGUGCUUCGUGGCAAGGUAGACUAGCAAACAUGCCCAACCUUUACUCACAUUCGAGAAAACACUCCCAAUAAGAUUGCUUGCUCCAAAAUCGAAGAGGCACCGUCCUCCGAAUCUCGAGAGCCAGACUCCCAACAUGACUACUUUCUUAAAAAUCGAAGAGAGGGUAAAGGAACAGUACCAUUGCUGGAUAAUUGGAAAGUCCCUGUGUGUCAACCUCUGUGCUUCGUGGCAAGGUAGACUAGCAAACAUGCCCAACCUUUACUCACAUUCGAGAAAACACUCCCAACAAGAUUGCUUGCUCCAAAAUCGAAGAGGCACCGCCCUCCGAAUCUCGAGAGCCAGACUCCCAACAUGAUUACUUUCUCAAAAAUCGAAGAGACACUGCUCCCCGAAUCUUCGAGAGCCAGACCCCCAGCAUGAUUGCUUUCUCAAAAAUCGAUGAGGCAUCGUUCUCCGAAUCAAUCGAAGAGGCGCUCGCUUUCUCAAAAGCUGGGCUGCUCAGAGACCACGAGGGCCGAUCUCAGAAAUCGAAGAGGCACCUACUUUUCUAGCCUUGUCAGCACCUGUCACACGCACACUCAGCUUUGCAGAAAUUAUGGGCAUUCUGUCGAAGACUUCUGGUGAAGUAGAAAGCACAUGAAUCUUACUGUUCAAUCACCCACUUCCCACACGCAACAAUAGCUCAUGGGUACCACAGAUAACUUUGCCAAAGUUCUCUGCCAAAGUUGAGCACGUGAAGCUUGCAGCUCCCACUACAUCGCUCUGACCAAGAAAGGUAAAAGAAUAGCAAAGAAACAGCACUAACAAAGUUUAGACACAUAAAUUUUGAAGGUCUAGCUACCAUAUUAUUACCCACAAGGGUAAAGGAACAGUACCACUGCUGGAUAAUUGGAAAGUCCCUGUGUGUCAACCUCUGUGCUUCGUGGCAAGGUAGACUAGCAAACAUGCCCAACCUUUACUCACAUUCGAGAAAACACUCCCAACAAGAUUGCUUGCUCCAAAAUCGAAGAGGCACCGUCCUCCGAAUCUCGAGAGCCAGACUCCCAACAUGACUACUUUCUCAAAAUCGAAGAGAGGGUAAAGGAACAGUACCAUUGCUGGAUAAUUGGAAAGUCCCUGUGUGUCAACCUUUGUGCUUCGUGGCAAGGUAGACUAGCAAACAUGCCCAACCUUUACUCACAUUCGAGACAACACUCCCAACAAGAUUGCUUGCUCCAAAAUCGAAGAGGCACCGCCCUCCGAAUCUCGAGAGCCAGACUCCCAACAUGAUUACUUCCUCAAAAAUCGAAGAGACACUGCUCUCCGAAUCUCGAGAGCCAGACCCCCAGCAUGAUUGCUUUCUCAAAAAUCGAAGAGGCAUCGUUCUCCGAAUCUCGAGAGCCAGAUACCACAGACCACUUUUUCAAAGUGCUCUGACAGAGUUAAAACAUGUGAAACUGGCAGCUCCCACUACCGUGCUAUGACCAAGCAGGGUAAAGGAAUAGCAUUACUACUUGUUGUUAGGGAGACUCCUAUAUAUGUCGACCUCCAUCCCCAACGGACAGGCAGACCUGCAAAAAUGCUCAACCCUUCAUCAUAUCUGAGAGGGCACUCCCAACGAAGCCUUUCGAAAUAUUCAGCUUUCUUUCCCCCCGAUAAUACCUCUGCAAACAAGCUAUACUAGAGCAAGAAUAUCUCAUAUCAUCAGGGUUAAAAGCAAGAGUAUCCCAUAUCAUGCUUUUUCCCUGUCUUUUCCUUUGGCCUUGUUUUUACCUGCAAGACAAGGAGAAAGAGAGCAAUCAGUCAGCACUUGGAAUCAAGCUUCCAGCCAGGAACUGACUGCCUGGAACCCCUUACCUGAUUACUUACCUGGCAUUGCUCUCGAGUACUCAUCUUCAACAUCUUAUGUUUCCAGGGAAGAUUCCGCAUCUGCUUGAGGAACAGAUAGGGCAAGUGCGAAGGAUACAAGGAAGCAUGUGGAGACAAGCGUAACAGCACACGUGCCGAUACAUCCAUUACUCUGUCAAAAGCAAAAGUAUCCCAUAUCAGCAGGGUGGAACGUACUCUAGAUUUGAUGGACUUGUUUUGACCCUCAAAUUCUUCAGUCGGCCUUAUACUCUGGAGGAAACCAGAAAACCCUCCAGCUCAGUUCAAGAAUAAGCCUGUGGAAAGUUACUUCUUCAAAAGCAAAAGUAUCUCAUAUCAUCUCUUCUCAUUUUUCUUCUCUUUAUCCUUCAUGCUGCUGCAAGAUGGGGAGAAGGUGAACAAUCAGUCGGAGCUCUGAUUGCUUACCUUGUCUGUCACCUCUUUCAGCAGACCCCCUAGCUCGGCGACUUGGGGGACUCCUACUACAUGGUUUGUAUCGCGCUUGACCAAGCCUGAAACUACAAGUAAGCUUCAAGUGAAAUUGAUACAUUACCUUGUGCAUCUCCACCAGUUAAAGAUACCACCCCUGGAUGGAGGAAGAGUACUUCCAGAGAAGAUGCCACAUCUACCUAUGAGACAGAUAAGGCAAGUCAAGACGACACCACACUCCGAUACUUAGAAGUUUCGUGAUUACGAGAUCAUUCUCCCACAAUAUUUCCUAAUGUCAUUUGUACUAAAUCAUUCACUUGUACUCACUAAAGGAGAGCUUGAACCUAUGUACUUGUGUAAACCCUUCACAAUUAAUGAGAACUCUUCUAUUCCGUGGACGUAGCCAAUCUGGGUGAACCACGUACAUCUUGUGUUUGCUUUCCUAUCUCUAUCCAUUUAUAUACUUAUCCACACUAAUGACCGGAGCAAUCUAGCGAAGAUCACAAAAAGCGACCGUUUUCGCUACCUAGGAUCUAUCUUGCAAGAGAACGGAGAAUUAGAUGGAGAUCUCAACCAUAGAAUACGAGCUGGAUGGAUGAAGUGUAAGAGUGCAUCCGGCGUGUUGUGUGACCGUCGUAGGCCACUGAAGCUCAAGGGAAAAUUUUAUAGGACGGCAAUAAGGCCAGCGAUGUUGUAUGGCACAGAAUGUUGGGCGGUGAAGCAUCAACACGUACACAAAAUGGGUGUAGCGGAGAUGAGGAUGCUUCGUGGGAUGUGUGGGCACACGAGAAAGGAUAAGAUUGGGAAUGAGGAUAUCCGAGGUAAAGUAGGAGUAGCCGAAAUUGUAGGAAAGAUGAGAGAAAAUCGGCUCCGGUGAUUUGGACAUGUGCAAAGAAGGCCGAAUGACGCUCCGGUUCGAAGAUGUGACUACGGGACAGAGGUUCAGGGCCGAAGGGGUAGAGGAAGACCUAGGAAAACUUUGGAAGAGACUCUAAGAAAAGACUUAGAGUACUUGGAUCUAACGGAGGACAUGACACAAAACCGAGCGCAAUGGCGUUCUAGGAUUCAUAUAGCCGACCCCACUUAGUGGGAAAAGGCUUUGUUGUUGUUGUUGUUGUUGUAUUCUUAUAAUCGGAAUUAUUCAUAUUAUAAAUUACUGUGUCAAUAUCAUCUCCACAAAAAAAAUCAAUUAAAUAUAAGAUCGUUUGGUCAUGAAACUGUGUAAAAAUAGAUGAACCGAUCCGGUACAUGAAUUCCGAAACUUCUAUCUACUUGCUAUAAUUUAUUGACUAAACAAUCUUAGUUUUAAUUAAUUUUUUUUAGAGAUGAUCUUUAAUUAUAAAGUAAUUUAUAAUAUGAAUGAUUCUGAUCAUAAGUACGAACUUCUUCUCAAUCUUGAGAAGCCAAGCCUUCCUCAAAAGUUAAAUAAAAAACAAAACCAAAAUGAUGCUCGGCUUCCUGGGUACUCAGCUAAACUCUCCACCUCCUUUCAUCUUACAAGCUUCUAGAUUUAGAUUUGUCUCAAAUGACAUGCCAACUAAUCUGCCCAGCUCAAUUUUGAUUCUUUGAAAUUUCCAGUGCCUCUACUUUUUCAUUUCUAAAUCUUACUUACUCCCAUUAUAUAUAAUUAGUUUUUUUUAUAUAUAUAGAUUUAUAAAGAUGCUUUGUCUAGAUAUGAAAGACAUAGUAGUGAUUCAAAGAGAUCAUUUGGAGCCAAAAAUAGUUAGGUGUAGUCAAAUUCGGAUUUGAGAGUAUUUUAAAAGACUUUAAAAUCCUAGUAUAGUCAAUUAAAAGAUUUUAAAGGAUUUUAAACUCUAUCCAAAUCUAAGUGUAUUAAAAAAAUUAAGAUUUUGGAGGAUUUCAAUAAGUUGUGGAUUUUGUAGGAUUUGAAAGCAAGAAGUAUGUCACAGUCCCGGAGAUGUACGUUAAUUAUUUAUCGGAGGUGUGAAAAGUCGGAGUUACCCCUGGACGUUGAGUUGUAUUAUUGGUUUAAUUGUGUUUUUGGACCAAUAUUAUUAAAUCCUAAUUGUUUGGAAUCAAUUAGGAUUAGAGUUUGGUGUAUUGUGGGUUGUUGACUAUUUUGGACCACACAUCACUCCAUUCUCUCUCUCACUCCCGUGCACUCUCUCUCGGUUUCACUCUCUCUCUCCUUUGAACUCGUACGGACAAUCACCCAAAACCCUUGAAACUUCACGGAUCGUGGUCAAGGUUGGCACCAUUGUGUUCGUGAAGCUCAGACGAGUCGAUUGGUACCCAUUUCAGGUAAAGAUACCUUCGAAAACCCUAGUUUUUCAUAACCCCCGAUUUGUGCAUUGUUCAUGCACACGUAAUUAUGGAUGGUUUUGGAAUUUGAAGCUUGUAGGAAGCUUAGUGAGGUCCUAAGGAAGCUCGAAGUGCUUCGUUUGAAGGUUUUGGACGUUGGGAUCGUGUGGAUGAAGUUUGGCCAGUUUUUCUUGGAAUUCUCCGGUGAGAUCCCGUGACUUUUAAAACUUUAAAUUAGUAUGAUUGUGUUCUACAAGUUAAGAGCUUCAUUUUGGUAUAAAUUGCGUAAAAAAUGGUGCAAAAAUGAGCAAUAAAUAGGCAGUUGCAGGUUUGCCCAAAAUCCGGUGCCGGUGACACUAUUCCAGCAUCUGGAGGUUGAAGAUGCCGCGCGUGGGGGGCGCGUUUUGCCAUGCCCUUGCCGGAUGAUUGUGUUCUACAAGUUAAGAGCUUCAUUUUGGUAUAAAUUGCGUAAAAAAUGGUGCAAAAAUGAGCAAGAAAUAGGCAGUUGCAGGUCUGCCCAAAAUCCGGUGCCAGUGACAUUAUUCCGGCGUCUGGAGGUUGAAGAUGCCGCGCGUGGGAGGCGCGUUUUGCCGUGCCCUUGCCAGCGCAUGGGAGCUUGAAAAUUUUAUCUAAAAAUUUAGGGAUGAUCCUGAGGUUGUAUAGGUCACUGUGGUGUAUUCAUAUACCUAUUUUGAGCAAUGUAUGAAAAGUUAUUAGUUAGUUUCACCUAUGUGCUUUAAAAUAACGUUUUUAUAGUUAAUUCGCAUAUAGGUGAGGCUUAUCCCAAGGACGAGCGUAUCCACGGGCGACUCGGGGGCUACGACCCUUCGACAUACCAGUGAGUGGGAUUUUGUUUUCAGUAUAUACUUAUACACUAGAUAUAUUUCCUAGAAAUGCAUUUUUUUCAAGGAAACUAUGCUUUGAAAUAGUAUGCCAAAUGCUUUUAUAUUCUGAAUAUGCAUUUCAUGGUUGCAUAUAUAUAUAUAUAUAUAUAUAUAUAUAUAUAUAUAUGUGGUGUUGUGGAGGCACAGGUAAGUUCAGGUAAGUUAUGUUUGGUUAUAUGAAUCAUCGAUAAAGUGAUAUGUGAUUGAAUAAUGUUGAGCUUAUAAAACUGCACCUAAGGUGAUUGUGAUUUAGCCAGAGAUGUGAAGUACAUGCCUGUUUAUUUACGUCACCUCCCGCACUAUAUGCUCAUAUUGGAUCUAAUUUAAGUGCACAGUUUUGUCGUACAGACCUUAUUUAUGGUUCCGACUCGUAGGUGACUAGCGAUUUAUCGCCCGGCUAUUAUGAGAGAGUAAAAUUGAGCAUAAUUAUAUUACACCCAAUCUUGUCUUACAGACCCCUUUUUAGUGGUUCCGACUUAUGUGCAGUACAUUGCCGUAUAGGUCAUUGUAGUGACUCCGGCUAGAUUGACUUUGAGCUAUGAAUUCAACCGUACAGACUAUCACAGGGGUUCCGGCUAACAUAUCAUAUUUCUAUGAAUUUAUUCUUACCUGAAUUGUUUACUCUGUUAUAACUUGGCAUAACAUACAUUUAAAUAUGAUUAUGUGAAGCAUGAAUUGAAUUGAUAUGAUUUCAUAUAUAUAUAUAUAUAUAUAUAUAUAUAUAUAUAUAUUAUGUAUAUGCUUAUAUCUUGGUUUUGGGAAAAAUUAUACAUGUUUGACAGCGAGGGGUUAGUAUAUUGAUAAAUGAAAUGGUUUUGUAAAACAUUUGUUUUUGCCCACUCACGUUUUCUGUUUUGCUCCCUUCCAGGUUUUAACUAAGCUUGCUGUUGGUGGCUUGAGGACGUCGGCAGUUUUGACUUAUCUAAAUAAUAGUAGGACAUUGCUGGUACUGUAUAGCUAGUACUUGUCUUACUGGACUACACCUAGACUUUAUGCUCUGAUUAGGAGUGUUUACUGUUGUAACUAACUUCUAUCACUUUCUGUUUAGUAGUGCACUCUAGUAAAUUGGUUUUCAAUUAUUCGUAUAAUUCUUAUCAUUAUCGCUUCCGCACUGUGCACAUGGCUACGCACCCUCACGUGACGGUCAUCAUGGCUUGAUCUCGGUCGGGGUGUGUCAAAGUAUAUAUAACCAAGACUAAAAAUAAUCCAACCUCACCCUCUAGAAUUUCAAAUCAUUUUCCAUCUGAGCAGUCCUCAGAUCUCUACCAACCCCAGCUACACACAGGUAACCACCAUAUACUUUGGUGGAAUCUCUUAUUAUGACCCUUAGACUUUAAUUAGGCAUGUAUGAUCAUCGAAGGACAUGAUCGAUCUAGGAUUUUGGUUAAUACUACUCUCACACCAUUUUGAUUUUUUUUAAUGUUUGUGGUACUACAAGCACUAUUAAAGUACCACAGCAUCCAUUUGUGGGAAAAUGGCAGUCGGUGGUGAUGGUUGUUGGUGGUUUAGUGCUCAAAAGCUCACCAAAGUUAUAUUGAUCUAUCAAUUGAGAAAGAGAUAGAGCCGUGGUUGUGUGAAAGGGGACCCGAAAAGGGAGGGGAUAAAGUGGUUAUCGAGUACAGUAGGGCAAGGGGAAAGAUUUUUCCUUUUAUUUUCAAUUAAAAAAUUAUAUUAAUAUUAUCACAUCCCAUGCUCGACUCCACCGUAGCACGAUAUUGUCCGCUUUAGGCCCCGACCACGACCACAUGGUUUUGUUUUUGUGAACUCACGCGAGAACUUCCUAGUGGGUCACCCAUCUUGGGAUUGCUCUCGCGCGAACUCGCUUAACUUUUGAGUUCCGAUGGAAUCCGAAGCCAGUGAACUCCCAAAAAGCCUCGUGCUAGGUAGAGAUGAGAAUAUACAUAUAAGGCUUAGAGGAUCCACUCCCCUGGGCGAUGUGGGAUGUUACAAUCCACCCCCCUUAGGGGUCCGAUGUCCUCGUCGGCACACUUCCGACUAGAGAUUGGCUCUGAUACCAAAUUGUCAUAUCCCGGCCCGGGCCCCCACCACAUCCCAAGCUCGACUCCAUCGUAACAUGAUAUUGUCCGUUUUGGGCCCCGACCACACCUUCACGGUUUUGUUUCUAGGAACUCACACGAGAACUUCCCAGUGGGUCACUCGGUUUUGUUUCUAGAAACUCACAUGAGAACUUCCCAGUGGGUCACCCAUCUUGGAAUUGCUCUCGCGCGAACUCGCUUAACUUCGAAGUUCUGAUGGAACUCGAAGCCAGUGAGCUCCUAAAAGGCCUCGUGCUAGGUAGAGAUAAGAAUAUACAUAUAAGGCUUAGAGGAUCCACUCCCCUAGGCGAUGUGGGAUGUUAUAAUCCACCCCCCUUAGGGGCCCGACGUCCUCGUCAACACACUUCCGACUAGAGAUUGGCUCUGAUACCAAAUUGUCACAUCCCGGUCCGGGCCCCCACCACAUCCCAGGCUCGACUCUAUCGUAGCAUGAUAUUGUCCGUUUUGGGCCCCGACCACGCCCUCACGGUUUUGUUUCUAGGAACUCAGGCGAGAACUUCCUAGUGGGUCACCCGGUUUUGUUUCUGGGAACUCACACGAGAACUUCCCAGUGGGUCACCCAUCUUGGAAUUGCUCUUGCGCGAACUUGCUUAACUUCGGAGUUCCGAUGGAACCCAAAGCCAGUGAGCUCCCAAAAAGCCUCGUGCUAGGUAGAGAUGGGAAUAUACAUAUAAGGCUUAGAGGAUCCACUCCCCUGGACGAUGUGGGAUGUUACAGUAAUAUCAAUAACUUAUUGUUGGGUUCGUUAAGCAAGUGGGCAAUUAGGUCCGUUUAUGAGAGCAUAGGUGAAAUCUUUCGAUGUCGACUAGCACAGCUCAAUUCGGAGUCCUAGUGGACAUUCUGGGUUGGUGUCCAAAAUCCACCACAAUCCACCAAAAUCUACAAACUAAAACUAUUCAAAUUCUUUAAAAUCCAUAUGAAUUUUGUAAAAGUCUUAAAUCCUCCUAAACCCUAUCAAAUUUAUCACUUUUAAAAUCCUUUAAAAUCUUAGUUUGACUACACCCCCUUAGUAUUUUAAAUUGGCUUUACUACAUUGCACAUUGAGAUGAAUUUUUAAAAUGUCCAUCUAGCUUAGCUAGCUACCAUGAAAGCUACAUGAAAGCUGACUGUCAAUUUUCCAAGGGUUUUUCCACAUGAAAUGGCAUGAAAUGGGUUAAUUUCACUUUAAAUAGUUGAUAUAAAAUGAAAACAAAAGUACAACUGGUUGAGAACCUUCCUUUCAUGUUCUCCGUAUCUUAGAGGAUAACAACAGUAGCAAGUUAGGCUGGAUCAAAUACAAGAAUGAACAUGAGAACGUGCAUGCAUGGUUACCUUUUCCUUUUGUUUUUUACAGAGAAUCUUGAGAAGCAGUCAAGGGCAACGUUAUGUUUUUACUACUGAGAUCUGUGUGCUAAAAGGAGAUUACGUAGCUAGGUUCAGUCUUCACCUAACACUCCUAUUAUCACUUGUGACUGUAAAAGAUAUACUGUUGGGGUUGGCUGACGUUAAUUAGUUGUUCAUAUUGAUUUGAGAAAUUUGAUAGAAAUGAGGAUUAACGAAUUACAAUUAGAGCUGGCAAAUAGUUGGGUUUAGUUGGUUUGGGUUAGAUUCACCACUAAUUGAUUUCUACACGGGUCAUUCAAAUUCAAUCCAUUAGCUUAUGCAAUGGUGGAGCGAUGAAUUUUUCACCGGGUGAGCUAGCUUAAAGAUUUAAAUAUUUAUAAAAAAAAAACAUGAUACUGUAUUUUCACCGUAUUAGCUAACUAAAGAAAAUUUUGACAAGGUGAGCCAAGAAUAAACAAAUACUUGUUUAAAUUCAAACAAAUCCAAACUUGUACAUAUACAAGAAUUGAUGAGAAAAAAAGAAUGUAAGAAAAAGAGAUGGUUUGUAAACUGUAUUUUAUAAUUUUAUAUAGUCAAACCGAGAGAAUUUGGAUCAGUGACUAAUAUAUGGUGGACUACAUUCGAAAAUUAAUAAAAAUUACAUGUCAAAUUUUAUUUUUGGGCUAUAGCCCAAAAUAGCCCUUAACAUGGCUCUGCCAGUGAGCUUAUGGUAAAAAUGGUUGACCCGAAAUGACUUGUUUUGUUAACGAGCUAAUCAUUUCAUCCAGUAACGAUUUUUUUUUUUUUUUUUUUUUUUUUUAACAUUCAGCUGAAACCCAACUAUUUCGCGAACUAUUUUAACGGGUCAACCGUUGGUCUAGUUUUGUACUUGCCAACAAAACAAAGAACAUAUGAAAUAGUAAAUUAUUUCAAAGUAAAUCAAAUAGCGACGUAGAUUAUAUAACAACGAGUAAUCGUUUUAACAAUUAAAAAUUUCUUUUCAUUGGUUCAUACAAUUUUCGAAUUGGUAUCAACUUUAGUGUUAUUGUAUGUUUGUACCAUAUUUGACCAAUCCCGAAAUUACUGAGCACCGGUCAACGUUAUACCGUCAAGGACCCAGAAGAGUUUCCCUCCAACUAGGAGGCCAAUCACAGCGUAACACGUGUCGACAUCAGAAGCCAAUCAUAGUGCGACACGUGUCAACAUCAAAAGCCAAUCACAACACGACACGUGUCAAUGUCAGAAUGAAACUAGAAACUCUCUUCUAUAAAUAGAGAUCAUUCUCUCAUAAUAUUUCCUAAUGUCAUUUGUACUAAAUCAUUCACCUGUACUCACUAAAGGAGAGCUUGAACCUAUGUACUUGUGUAAACCCUUCACAAUUAAUAAGAACUCCUCUACUCCGUGGACGUAGCCAAUCUGGGUGAACCACGUACAUCUUUUGUUUGCUUCCCUGUCUCUAUCCAUUUGCAUACUUAUCCACAUUAGUGACCGGAGCAAUCUAACGAAGGUCACAAACUUAACACUUUCUGUUGUACCAAAGUCCUCACUGAUUUUGUGCAUCAACAUAUGGCACCGUCUGUGGGAACGACACUUAUUCCCACUUUCUUCAGCUUUGCCAAGCUGGUUUCCACCAUUCGUACACUCUCUUUUGACCAGGCAUCCCUCUUCAACAUGGGGAGCGAAGGAAGCCACAGCAUACAGAAUGACACCCCUCAUGCACCUAGUGCGAAACAACAAAGGAAGGAAGGAAAGAGGGUUGCUCUUUAAGCUAAAUUCGAUGAGUUAGAAGCUCAGAAUAACAAGAUAGCAAUGAAGAAUGAGGUCCUCUAAGAGCAGUAUGAGAAGCUCUUUGAGACGCUCCACGAAACUAGGCGUACUCAAACACGUGAGCUCGUUGCCCCUAUGGACAUCAACCAUCAUCUGGGUGCCCCCCAACACGGAGGGUCACCUCCCUUCGACAUGGGUAUCCCUAAUGAGGAGCAAGCUAAUCAUCAAAACAUUGAUCAACAUGAGACUUCUCUCAACUCAGAUGUUUCGACCCGAAGUAGAAGAAAUGGAGGAAAACACCUCAUUGCAGAAGGGUUUGAAGGAUCAAAAGUCGUUUAUCGUGAUUGCCGAGACUUCCUAAAGCAACGUCGAGAGAAUCCCCUCCACAUAUGCUCGAAGAUCAAUGACCUAAGGGUUUCUGAAAGACUCGGUCCCUUCUCACGACCCAGGCCAGCUGCUAAUCUAGGGAAGGAAUGACAGGUCCCAGAGGAAUAUGAAGGUACGGAGGACUCUGAGGUAUUCCGAUAGACUCGUCCUAUAAGUCAGUACGGCGAGUCCAAGAAAAAACCACACGCCCUUACUCAAACUUUCCUACUUCCAAGAGGCGAUGGAAACUUACGAAAGAAAAUUCCAGUGGUACAUGACUUUACUCAGGACCCCCUUGUCCUUCAGCUUCUUGUGGAAGUAACCAAGUUGAAGGCCGAACGUCAGGCCGAGAUACCUGACUCGAACCAACCUAGGCAUGGCUCUCUCAUAAGAAGGAUCAUCGACACCCCCUUUCAAGUGAAGACAAAACAAAAGCUUAGUUUACAACUCUAUACUAGAAGGGAGGACCUAAUUGAACACCUUAACCUCUUUGAGGCCACCAUGGCAUAUCGGAUGCAUACUGACGAAGAGUAAUGUCUUCUCUUCCUCUCCACCCUCUCUGGCGGAGCUCUAAACUGGUAUUGCCAUCUUCCACCUGAGACAGUAGACUCAUUUGAGGAAUUGAGGAAACUGUUUGUCUCUCAACACAUCUUCCAGACCGAUCACUUGCAUUCUACGGAUGACUUGUACACUAUUCGCUAGAAGCCGGACGAGUCACUACGAGAGUAUGUCGGUCGCUUCAGCCAUGAGUAUUCUCGCUGCACUGAGGCAGAUGACAAGACCGCCCUCAAGGCCUUCAAGGCAGGCCUACGUGAUUGUUUCUUCAAGUACAUGAUCAAUGCCAACACUUGGAAGACUUACUCUGAGAUGAUGGCACAAGCUUACAACCACGCCUACGCCGAAGUAAAGACAUACCAAGGGAACCCCCAUAUGGUUAACCCCUAUCAAGAAAUGGGAAGUGGAAGUCAAGUUCUACCAAGUGAGGAGAUAUUAGCCUUUCAGACACCCAUUGCAUCAUCUCCUGCCUCAUUUAGCUACUCGCUAAGUCACCAAACGUAUCUGUCUCUUUGUAAGAGGAAGGAUUUUUACUCUCAGCAAGCCCAUUACAGCAAGAGGGAUAAAAGUUCGUAUCAAGACAACCAGGGGUGAACGUACCGUCGAUUAUUAUGUCUAUAGGGCCAUGCCUCACUCUUUCAAAGUGAAGGACUAGGUACUGAAGGAAAUGUUAUUAUAAGAAGGCAUACACAUUACAAAUGUUUUGACUCUUAACCGCUUGAGAUCUUUUGUCACACAAGCCAUUCGGCAAAUAUUUAAAGAAGAGGGAAUUCAUACAACUUCUUCUGAGUCUUUUGCGUUCCUAGCACUGGAACACUUGGUCUACAUUGACCUACCCUUAUACUCCAACUCAGAGCUUCAACAUGCGUACUUUGACACAAAGUAUGUGAUACUAAGUGUUACAACUAACAUGGUUCACAUAUCAAAAGCAUGGAUCCCUUCAUGCAUAGCAAAACAUUCAUCAGCAUCACACAUAUCAAUCAACAUAAACAUUAUACAUUCCAACACAUUCAUACAUAAACAUCAUACAUUCCAACACAUUCAUACAUAAACAUCAUACAUUCCAACACAUCCAUACAUAAGCCAACUGUGCUUCAAAAGGGUUCAACAUACUUUGUGUCUUCAACACUUGCUACAAUGUGCCUCGACACCUUGCCCUUAUUCUCACCAACCAGGUGAUGAAAUGUGAAGAAGGAACUCAUCUUCAUGCCACCAACCAAGUGAUGAAAUGUACAACCCGUACUCUAAUAUCAUUUGGCAACUUGCCACUCAUGCCACUAACCAGGUGAAGAAGGAACUCAUCUUCAUGCCACCAACCAGGUGAAGAAGGACCUCAUCUUCGUGCCACCAUCCAGGUGAUGAAAUGUCCAACCCGUACUCUCCUUCAUGCCACUAACCAGGUGAUGAAAUGUACAACCCGUACUCUAAUAUCAUUUGGCAACUUGCCACUCAUGCCACCAACCAGGUGAAGAAUGAACUCAUCUUCAUGCCACAAACCAGGUGAUGAAAUGUACAACCCAUACUCUCCUUCAUGCCACCAACCAGGUGAUGAAAUGUACAACCAGUACUUUAAUAUUAAUUGACAACUUGCCAUUCAUGCCACCAACCAGGUAAAGAAGGAAAACAUCUUCAUGCCACCAACCAGGUGAUGAAAUGUACAACCCGUACUCUCCUUCAUGCCACCAACCAGGUGAUAAAAUGUACAACCCGUACUCUAAUAUCAUUUGGCAACUUGCCAUUCAUGCCACCAACCAGGUGAAGAAGGAACUCAUCCUCGUGCCACCAACCAGGUGAUGAAAUGUGAUGAAAGGUGAUGAAGGAACUCACCUUCGUACCACCAACUAAGUGAUGAAAGCAACUCACCAUUCAUUCCACCUACCAGAAGACGAGUGGUACAACUUGUACAUGUGAACUCUUAGCAUUCACAAAUAAUCAAAAACCCUCAAGCUUGACAACUCAACUAGGGGAGCACUUAUGCCUAACAAGAGUUAUAGUCACCAAUAAAGUCUUAUUGCAAGCCAAUAACAACUUCAGUGCAUGGCAUACGAAGAUUAAGCUAUUCAGCCCUCUUGCAUCUGCUUCAAGCAUUUCCCCUCUGUAACAAUGCAAACACUACAACUCGUAGAAAGCUUCACACACUCUUGAUCAAGACAGUGUGAAGCAAAACCAAUUUAUGGUGCUAACAAGAGCUUCAUCAAAGAAGUUCAACCACAAUUCUUAAAAACUUCACACAUUUUUUAUCAAGACAGUGUGAAGCAAAACCAAUUUAUGGUGUCAACAAGAGCUUCAUCAACGGAGGGCAACUACAAUUCUCAAAAGCUUCACACACUCUUGAUCAAGAGAGUGAAGCAAAACUAAUUUAUAGUGCCAACAAGAGCUUCAUCAAUAGAGGGCAACCACAAUUCUCAAAAGCUUCACACACUCUUGAUCAAGACAAUGUGAAGCAAAACCAAUUUAUGGUGCCAACAAGAGCUUCAUCAAAGGAGUUCAACCACAAUUCUCAAAAGCUUCACAUACUCUUGAUCAAGACAGUGUGAAGCAAAACCAAUUUAUGGUGCCAACAAAAGCUUUAAAUUGGUGCCAACAAGAGCUUCAUCAAUGGAAGGCAACCAUAAUUCUCAAAAGCUUCACACACUCUUGAUCAAGACAGUGUGAAGCAAAACCAAUUUACGGUGCCAACACAAAUUUCAUCAAAAGAGUUCAACCACAAUUCUCAAAAGCUUCACACACUCUUGAUCAAGACAGUGUGAAGCAAAACCAAUUUAUGGUGCCAACAAAAGCUUCAUCAAUGGAAGGCAACUACAAUUCUCAAACCUUCGAAGCAAAUUCAAGACUGUUCGAAGCAAAUUCAAUUUAUAUGGUUCAUCCAAACCUUCGACUACUACAAGGUGUGGCUUGCAUCACAAUCUCUUGCUCAACAGUGUGGAAGCAAAAUUUGUAUAUGUUGUCUCUCCCACAUUUUUCAAAUUUCUAGUUUCCCAAAAAAAAAAAAUUGGGAAAUUCAACAAAGCUUCAUCAAUGGAGGACAACUACAAAUUCUCAAAAGCUUCACACUAUCUUGAUCAAGAUAGUGUGAAGCAAAAUCAAUUCGUGGUACCCAACAAAGCUUCACCACAAAAGCUUCACCAACAAAAGCUUCAUCAAUGGAGGACAACUACAAAUUCUCAAAAGCUUCACACUAUCUUGAUCAAGAUAGUGUGAAGCAAAAUCAAUUCAUGGUACCUAACAAAAAGCUUCAACUCCAAAGCUUCACCAAUAAAAACUUUAUCAAUGGAGGACAACUACAAAUUCUCAAAAGCUUCACACUAUCUUGAUCAAGAUAGUGUGAAGCAAAAUCAAUUCAUGGUACCCAACAAAAGCUUCAACUCCAAAGCUUCACCUACAAAGCUUCAACUCCAAAGCUUCACCUACAAAAGCUUCACACCCACAAUAGCUUCACCCACAAAGCUUCACCUACAAAAGCUUCACCCAUAAAAGCUUCACCAACAAAAGCUUCACCCACAAAAGCUUCACCCACCACAAAAGCUUCACCGACAAAAACUUCACCCAUAAAAGCUUUACCAACAAAAGCUUCACCCACAAAAGCUUCCACCACCAUAAAAGCUUCACCCACAAAAGCUUCCCCCAUCACAAAAGCUUCACCAACCACAAAAGCUUCACCCAUAAAAGCUUCACCUACAAAGCUUCAACACAAAAGCUUCACCUAAAAAAGCUUCACAUUAUCUUGAUCAAGAUAGUGUGAAGAUAGUGUGAAGCAAAAUCAAUUCAUGGUACCCAACAAAGCUUCAAUCUCAAAGCUUCACCUACAAAGCUUCAACAACAAAGCUUCACCUACAAAGCUUCAACAACAAAGCUUCACCUACAAAGCUUUAAAAUAUAUAUAUAUAUAUAUAUAUAUAUUUUUUUUUUUUGAAAUUCGAAAAUAAAAAAUAAAAAAAAAUUCGAAAAAUAAAAAAUUUCAAAAAAAAAUUCGAAAAAAAAAUUGCUUAGGCCUCCUUUUCUUUGGGCCUAACAACUUUCAUAACAAAUAUAUAUGAAGAAGGAGUUUUGGGCUACCACUUAGAAAGGAAAUGCCUCAUUCGUCAACUCCCUCGACCGGAGACUUAGGGGACUCCUACCAUAUGCUACUGCACCUUGAUACUCGGAAGUCUCACGACCACUCAGUGACUUGGAUUUUUCAAGUCUCCAAACGAGAAGUUUUCCUCACUCGGAAAAUUAAGGGAGCACUACCUCAACCUACAUGCUUCACUCACAAAGCUUCAACAUACAAGCUUCAACAAAAGGAAAAAUUCAAAGAACUUAGUGAAGAAGGCCUUGGUGUAUUUAACACAAUACGUUGAAAUGAAGCAAAGCUUGUUUAUUGAUAUCUCCGAUAAGUUACAAAUAUGUACAUAUACAUGAAUCAAAAUAAACAAACAAGAGGAGCCUUCACAAAGGUUGCUCAGGAGAAGUCUCAGCAGUCGGCAAGGGCCCCAGAAAGAGGAGGCACCAGAGGGUGAUUAUUCGGAGCCUCAGUACUAGGCAGAACCCCAGAAGGAGGAGGCACCGAAGGUUGAUCAUUUGGAGCUUCAUUACGCGGUACAGCCCCAGAAGACGAAGGCAAUAAAUGCCUUUGGAACAAACCCACAAACCUCUGAUGAUCAAGUAAAAUCUGACCAUCAGAUUCCUGCAGCUGGUCGAGCUUCCUCUUCAUGUUUGUAGCAUAGUCAUGUGCGAGCCUGUGCAACUGUUUAUUCUCAUGCUUGAGCCCUCUGAUCUCCUGUUUGAGACUUAUCACUUCAGCCGCCAAUGAUUCAACUUGGCGGGUUCGAGCAAAUAGGCGUUGGGCCAUAUUAGACACAGAACCUGCACACUGAACACUGAGAGCCAGAGAAUCCUUAACAGCCUUCAUCAGACCGUUUGGAAAGUAGUCUGUUAUCUUUGGGAGUGAGAAGGUUCCUGGCCACCACCGCAGCGGUCAUAUCAUUCUUCAUCACAGAGUCCCCAACGGUAAGAGGACCAGUAGGGGAUAAGAAGGAUGGGUGCCAUAUGUUGUCUUGAGAAGGCAUGGCUGCCUCUUCACCAAAGUUCAAGUCAAAACGACGGUCGGAUGGGCCAGACAUUCUCAGAAAUGAUGAAGGAGAAAUGAGGUGCAAUAAAUCUCUGAAGUAAGGGGAAAAUUCCUACAAGCAAUAACUCUCUGAAUGUACUUCUUGCACAUAAUUGGUGCCCUUAUAAAAGAAAGGGCAACAGGGCCGUUGGUUCAAAAAUCGAAGAGGCACCACUCUUCGGAUUCCAAAGAGGCACCACUUUCCACACGCAACAUCAGCUCCUCGGGUACCACAUAUAACUUUGCCAAAGAUCUCUGACAAAGUUUAGACACAUAAAUUUUAAAGGUCCAGCUAUCCUACUAUUACCCACAAGGGUAAAGGAACAACACCACUGCUUGAUAACUAGAAAGUCCCAAUGUGUGUCAACCUCCGUGCUCCGUGGCAAGGCAGACUGGCAAAAAUGCCCAACCUUUACUCACAUUUGAUAAAACACUCCCAACAAGAUUGCUUGCUCAAAAAUCGAAGAGACAUCGCCCUCCGAAUCUAGAUAGCCAGACUCCCAACAGGAUUAUUUUCUCAAAAAUCGAAGAGAUACUGCUCUCCGAAUCUCAAGAGUCAGACUCCCAACAAGAUUGCUUUCUAAAAAAUCGAAGAGGCACUGCUAUCUGAAUCUCGAGAGCUAGACUCCCAACAAGAUUACGUGCUCAAAAAUCGAAGAGGCACCGCCCUCUGAAUCUCGAGAGCCAGACUCCCAACAGGAUUACUUUCUCAAAAAAUCGAAGAGACUGCUUUCCGAAUCUCAAGAGUCAGACUCCCAACAGGAUUGCUUUCUCAAAAAUCGAAAAGGCAUCGUUAUCUGAAUCUUGAGAGCCAGAUCCUCGACAGGAUUGCUUGUUCGAAAAUCAAAGAGACACCGCUCUCUGAACUCCGAGAGCCAGAUUUCCUUGGAUAAAGCUUGUCUGCAAUCUUCACACACAACAUCAGUUUUCCAGAUACUACAAACCACUUUUUCAAAGUGCUCUGACAAAGUUAAAACACGUGAAGCUUGCAGCUCCCAUUACAUUGCUAUGACCAAGAAGGGUAAAGAAAUAGCACUACUACUUGUUAUUAGGGAGACUCAUAUAUAUAUCGACCUCCAUCCUCCACAACCAGGCAGACCUACAAAUAAAAAAAAAUGCUCAACUUUUCUUCACAUCCGAGAAGGCACCCUCAGCAGAGUCUCAUGAAAUACUCAGCUUUUUUUCCUCCCGAUAAUACCUCUGCAAACAAGCCACACCAGAGCAAGAGUAUCUCAUAUCAUCAGGGUUAAAAGCAAGAGUAUCCCAUAUCAUGCUUUUUCCCUGUUUUUUCCUUUGGCCUUGUUUUUACCUACAAGACAAGGAGAAAAAGAGCAAUCAGUCAGCGCUUGAAAUCAAGCUUCAAGUCAGGAACUACCUCUUGCCUGAUUACUUACCUGACAUUGCUCUCGAGUACUCAUCUUCAACAUCUUAUGCUUUCAGAGAAGAUACCAUAUCUGCCUGAGGAACAGAUAAGGCAAGUGAGAAGGAUACAAGGAAGCAAGUGGAGACAAGCGUAACAGAACACGUGCCGAUACAUCCACUACUUUGUCAACAACAAAAGUAUCCCAUAUCAUCAGGGUCGAACGUACUCUAGAUUUGAUGGACUUGUUUUGACCCUCAAAUUCUUGAGUCGGCCUUAUACUCUGGAGGAAACCAGAAAACCCUCCAGCCCAGUUCAAGAAUAAGCAUGUGGAAAGUUACUUCUUCAAAAGCAAAAGUAUCUCAUAUCAUCUCUUCUCCAUUUGUUUCUCCUUAUCCUUGUUGCUAUUUAAGACACAAGGAGAAGGAGAACAAUCAACCGGAAGCCGAAGUUGAACCUCUGAUCCAGGUUGCUUGCUUGGAAGUCUGAUUGCUUACCUUUUCUGUUACCUCUCUCGGCAAAUCUCCUAGCUCGACGACUUGGGGGACUCCUACUACAGGGUUUGUAUCGCACAUGACCAAGCUCGAAAUUACAAGUAAGCUUCAAGUGAAAUUGAUACAUUACCUUAUGCAUCUUCAUCGGUUAAAGAUACCACCCAUGGAUAGAGGAAAAGUACCUCUAGAGAAGAUGCCACAUCUACAUAUGAGACAGAUAAGACAAGUGAAAAUGAUACCACACUUCGGUACUUAGAAGUUUCGUGAUUACUUAAUAGCUUGGAUCUUGUAAGUCCCUAACCGAGGAGCUUCCCUUACUCGGGAGCUUAGGGGAUCACUGUUUGUACCAUACUUGACCAAUCCCAAAACUACUGAGCACCGGUCAAAGUUAUACCGUCAAGGACCCAUAAGUGUUUCCCUCCAACCAGGAGGCCAAUCACAGCGUGACACGUGUCGACAUCAGAAGCCAAUCAUAGCGCGACACGUGUCAACAUCAGAAGUCAAUCACAACACGACAUGUGUCAAUGUCAGAAUGAAACUAGAAACUCUCUUCUAUAAAUAGAGAUCAUUCUCUCAUAAUAUUUCCUAAUGUCAUUUGUACUAAAUCAUUCACUAGUACUCACUAAAGAAGAGUUUGAACAUAUGUACUUGUGUAAACCCUUCACAAUUAAUAAGAACUCCUCUACUCUAUGGACGUAGCCAAUCUGGGUGAACCACAUACAUCUUGUGUUUGCUUCCCUGUCUCUAUCCAUUUGCAUACUUAUCCACACUAGUGACCGGAGCAAUCUAGCGAAGGUCACAAACUUAACACUUUCUGUUAUACCAAAGUCCUCACUGAUUUUGUGCAUCAAUAUUGUACAAAUGAAAGGUAUGGUGACUAUAGAAGCUAAAAAUAAAUAAACAGAAAAUAAAGGAAAAGUGACAAAGAAAAAUAUUAGUUUGUGUCGUUCUCAUUGUAAUAGUCUGUCAUGUGAUAUAUUUUAUACAUUGUAAUAUGAACGAUGAGUAAGUGUUUUGUUUUUUUUGUCAAACAAUAUAUUUGUUAGAUUAGAGAAUUGACGGGGUUCGAAUCCACGUCGUGGUGCAAGGCCACCACUAGUCUCCACUACUGUGGUAGAGUGCCACUUGUGGUCAGUAAGUUAUUAAAUGGUGUGAGAAUUACACCAAAAUAUUCAUUAGUUUUGGAGUAAUGCUAGAGAGACUAAAUUUGUAGACAAAAUUUUAAAAACUAAAAGACAUAAAAGUUAAUGAUUGGUUUAUUACUUAAGUGUUAAUAAACAUGCUUAUUCCUAUUGGUGACACAUUAUUUAGUUUACAAAUUUUGUCUAUAAAUUUAGUCUCUGUGGCAUUACCCUUAGUUUUAGGCUUUGUAAUCAAAAUGGUCUUAGAGAUUGGUACAACUCUUUACUUUGGUCCCAAAUAUUGAAAAUUGAUAGAAGUAAUCCCUGAGUUUGUUCACCGUAAAUCAUUUUGGUGCAUCCGUGAAAAGUCUGUCAACACCAUCUUUAAAUUGUCAUAUGAGCGACCACAAGACAACCUUUUCCAUAGUAUUGUCAAACUAACUCCUUUUAUUAACCAAAAUGGUCGAGUUUGGUAUAACCUCUCAUUUUGAUUACUAACAAUGAAUAUCAAUAGAUGUGGUCCUUGAGUUUGUCUAUCGUAAAUCAUUUUGGUCAUUCUAUGAAAAAUUUAUCAAUAUACUCGUUAAAUUGUCAUGUGAGCGACCGCGUGAUCACCUUUUAAAGGGCAUUUUUACCAAACCAACCCCUCCACUUAACAAGAAUAUUGAUAGAGUUUUCAAGGAAGGAACAAAAUGAUUUACGAUGGUCAAACUCAAUGACCACUUCUAUCAGUUUUCAUUGUUAGGGACUAAAAUAAAGAGUCAUGUCGAUAUCAGGAACUAUUUUGGUUAAAAGGGGUUGGUUUGAUAAAAAAAUACAUUUAAAAGGGUGGUUACAUGGUCGCUCAUGUAACAACUCAAUGAUGAUAUUGAUAGAUUUUUUACUGAAUGAUCAAAAUAAUUUAUGGUGGAUAAAGUCAAAAACCACGUCUAUCGAUUUUGUAAUCUUAGAAACUAAAACGAAGAAUUAUGACAAUCUCAAAAAUCAUAAGUUUAACUAAAAACUCUUCUUGUUAUACAUCAAAAUUAAUGAAUGUGCUUUUGUAGAGGACGUAAAUGUGUCAACGAAUCAGACCUUCACUAGUUAAAACCAUCCCUACUAAUGCUGUUUGAAAAGUAAGUACUAAUAUGAUUAAUGAUUGUACAGAAAAAUAAGUACUAAUAUGAUUAAUGAUUGUACAGAAAAAAAUAUAUUAUCUGAACAGCUCAUCGUGCAUGUUGAUUGAUGUAAAGUGAAUUUUUUUUUUUUUGGUAAACUUGGGAAGGUGGAACUUGGGAAGGAAUUUCACAUUCUUGGGGUGAUCAAUAUAAUGAGAUUGUAAGUCUAGUUAAACAUGCUUAAUUAAACAUUUAAGCAUCUUUUAUUUAUUUGUUUUCAUUCUUUAUUCCUUCUUAAUUUGUUGUAAUUGUUUGGAACAACUAGCAAGACAAAUCUAGCUAGCUAGCAUUCACUGCACAAUGAAAGAUUAUUCGUAUUUGGAAAUGAAUAAUUAGUUAAAACCUGUAUUAUUAGGCAAAUGGGAUCGUAAAUAUUUGUAUCUUAAACCUUCACAGUCAGAGAUAUUCGAGUCAAUUAGUUAAAAGCUAUGAAAAUUGUGAAUGUGACAGACUACGUACUAAAGUCUGGAUUAUUUGAGAGAGAGAGAGACAUGAGUCUCGCAGCCGACUGGUCCCUCAUCUGAGCAGAAAGAACCAUAGAAAGUUAGGCAACCACGCACAUUUUCAAAGAUGUCGAUCAUGAAAAAUAUUUCACAAAUAAAUUCAGGGAAGACUUUCUGUUUAAAUUAUUAACCCAGAAAUAAAGCUCCAUCUCUUGGUAGCUAGCCUUUCUGCUACGUACUCUUGUUGCAUUAAACUAAACCUUAUUAAAGCAAAAAUAAUCACACCUUAGGUGAUAGGUUUAGGGAAAUGGUUAAUGAUUUUAGCAAGUUCUUGUUUAUUUUUUAAUUUUUAAUUUUUUUUUCUUUAAUCAAUUUAAAUGCUAAAAUUAAACAACGAUGUGCACCACAAAUAAGAGGGUGUGUGAAAAUUAUAUCUCUAUAUCUAGAGAAAAUUAUGGCAAUGGUUCUUUAACUUUAAUAAAAUUGAAGUAAUGGUCUCUCAAAUAAAAAUUUAUGAUCAUUGGUCCCUUAAUUCUUUCAAACAUGCAACUAUAGUCAUUUUCAUCAAUUCCAUAAGAACGUCCAUCAAAAUGAGUCACGUUUCAUGCAAUGAGGCUGAAUCGAAGGACAAAUAUGAAAAACCAAAUGAGAAAAAUUGUAGCAGUGGUCUCUCAACUCUAACCCAACUAGAGAAAUAGUCUCUCAACUUUAACUCAAUUAGAGUAAUGAUCCUUCAACCUUAACGUAAUUGUAGCAAUGGUUAUUCAAACAUAACUUAUUUUGACAGAAUUCUAACGGAGUUAACAAAAAAAUCAUAGCUGCACGUUUUGAUGAGUCAAGAGACCAAUGAUCAUGGAUUUUUAGUUGAAGAACAAUUGCUCUAAUUGGGUUAAAGUUGAGAGGCAAUUGCUACAAUCUUCUCCUAUAUUUAUUUAUUAUUAUCUACGUUUACAAUGAACCAUCUACUCCAUGAAGCAAGAUAUUAAAAAAGGACAAGGAUUGUCUGCCCUUCCAUUUUCCAUGCCCUCCUGUUUUGUGUGAUCACAGUUAAGCCACGUUAACAUUUUAUAUAUUUUUUAUAAAGAUAAUAAAACAAAAAUGAAUAGUAAUAUAAAAUAUUGACGUGGCUUAACCGUGACCACACAAACAAGAGGGCAUGGAAGGGCAUGGAAAAAGGAAGGGCAGACAAUCCUUUCCAUUAAAAAAAGGGCAGGGCUUAACAAAAUUCAGUCAAAGGCCUCCUUGAUCCAAACAUUAAUUGAUAAUCUAUUCAAACAGUGGCCCCAUUAGUCUUAUUUUAACAUUAAUCUUAUUUUUUACUAAGGUAAUUAAUAAUUGCAAGUGAAAUUUGGCAUGAUUACCGUGGUGUUAAAGGUAAAGACCAAAGCUAUAUAAAGGGUGAGAAGGCUUAGCUUAAGAGGCAGAAAUCCCAUUCUUAACAAAGAUGGGGAAAAUGGGGCCUUCACAAGUGACCUCUCUUGUGGUCACUAUACUAGUGGCACUAGUCUCUCUCACAUUGCCUUCAGAAACUUCAGCUAACUACCCUUACUCAUCUCCACCACCACCGGCUUCUCCUCCCUACCACUACAAGUCACCACCACCUCCUUCUCCUUCUCCUCCAGUGUACUCACCACCUAAGCAUCCCUACCACCCCAAGUCACCACCACCAUCACCAAAGCCUUACCACUACAAGUCCCCACCACCACCUCCUCCUCCAGUGCACUCACCACCCCCACCAAAGGAGCCUUACCACUACAAGUCUCCACCACCACCACCCAAGAAACCUCACCAUCACAAGUCUCCUCCACCACCACCCAGGAAGCCCUACCACCCGGUGCACUCACCCCCACCACCAAAGAAGCCUUACCAUUACAAGUCUCCUCCACCACCACCCAAGAAGCCCUACCACCCGGUGCACUCACCCCCACCACCAAAGAAGCCUUACCAUUACAAGUCUCCUCCACCACCACCCAAGAAGCCCUACCACCCGGUGCACUCCCCACCACCACCAAAGAAGCCUUACCAUUACAAGUCUCCUCCACCACCACCCAAGAAGCCCUACCACCCGGUGCACUCACCCCCACCACCAAAGAAGCCUUACCAUUACCAAUCCCCACCACCACCACCACCACACAAGAAGCCUCACCACCCAGUUCACUCACCACCUCCACCUAAGAAGCCUUACCACUACACGUCUCCCCCACCACCCCCUCCAGUCCACAAGUCUCCUCCACCACCAGUUCACUCACCACCACCACCACCUAUUAAACCUUACAAGCCACCAACACCUCCAACAGUUCACCCACCACCCGCUUACAUCUAUUCAUCACCCCCACCUCCUCACCACUACUAGAUAUUGAGAGCUUAGUUGCAUCCAGUUGGUAAGCCUCUCCAUUCUAUGUUUUUAGAUCAUAUCCAUACAACUGCAAGCAAUCGCCAAAUAAUUUGACAAAAAACAUCCCUAGCUAUAAAAUUAUAAUACACUAGUGUUUACUUCCUUUUUUGUCUAAUAAUCCAUAUUGGCAUAUGCAAGCUUAAUGCAUUUCCAGCAUAUCGUCAUUACUCAAUUAAAGUUUCUUGAUAUUUAGUAGUACUCAAGUGUAACAAAUAGACCAAUGACAGAGACCUAACAAGUAACAAUAAUAUAUAUAUAUAU
RNAcentral lists this long non-coding RNA (49138 nucleotides) under Malus domestica (apple). Its description in RNAcentral is "long non-coding RNA (MDOM_LNC004283)". The record is from RNAcentral. Lineage: Eukaryota; Viridiplantae; Streptophyta; Magnoliopsida; Rosales; Rosaceae.